This 58870-nucleotide long non-coding RNA is filed under the name Gossypium barbadense (sea-island cotton). RNAcentral describes it as "long non-coding RNA (GBAR_LNC003969)". Lineage: Eukaryota; Viridiplantae; Streptophyta; Magnoliopsida; Malvales; Malvaceae. The record is from RNAcentral.
AAACCAUAAACUCAAACACAUAACCCUAAAUCCUAAACUAUAAAAUUAGAAUCUCAAACACUAAACUCAAAAUUAAGAAGCCCAAACGCUAAAAUCAAAAGCCAAAAAUCAUAAACACUAAACUUGAACACAUAACUAUAAAUUCAAAAAAUCUAGCAUCACAAACUAAAGCCACGAAGACUUGGAGUUGACUCUUGUUAUAGUACUGAUUCCUGUGAACAUUUGAAAAACAGUGAUUUUUUUAUGGGAUUAUAUAAAAAAGUAGAGAUAAUGUUAUGUAUAAUACAGAUACCUUCAUAAUUUUCUAACUAUUAAAUCAAUGGUCUUUCUUAGUUUUCUUUAAUGAUAAAACAUAAACUUUUCCUUUUCAAAAAAAAAAAUGUUACACAAACUUUCCUCCUUUUUUUAAGAAAAGUAAUGCACUGCAAUUUUUUUUUGAAUCCAGUAAAUUGUUGAGAUAUUCUUUUACCCAUUUUAUUUACUCAUUCAUGUUCUCAAUUAAUUUGGCAAGUGCUUUUGUUGCCCUCUUUCCUAGAUCUUCCUUGAUGAGUAUGACCGAUCAAUAGUAUUUGCUUGCAAUUUUUUAUUAUGUAUAGUAAAUCGAAAUCCAAUUAAUGUUGACGAGGAUGACCAAUCAAUCAUAUCUGCCUGCAGCCUUCUUAUUAUGUAUAAUAAAUCUCCUUCAAAAAUAUUAGAUUGAAACAAGAGAAAUUUAGAGUCUUGACCAUUGCUUGUCAAAACGUCAACUAUUUUAAAGAGGAACAAUAAUUUUAAGAGAUAGAGAUUAAUAUCAGAUUGCUGGAUUUUGCGAACUUAGAUUAGAGUAUUAUUCUGGUUUCUCAUCAGAGUACAAAUUGUUAGGUGUGGGUCUCACUAUAUGGGAAAUCCAUAUUUUCUGUCACAUAUUUAGUGUCUUUGUCUUUUUGGAUUUGUCAAAAAAAAAAAAGAGAGCCAGUCAUUUUGGCUUUUAUGGGUGGUGUGGGUAGAAAGUGUGAGAGCCUUUCUAUUAUUAUUGAGUGUCAAAUUCUCAAUUUAAAAAGAAGAGAAAAAUAGAGAGUGAGAUUGAAGCUCGUUGGAGAAAAAGAGAGAAUAGAAAAAUCAGUUUUUUAAGCUUGGUGCAGCAGUGAUCAACUCUUCAAUCAAAUGUCCAUCCGUGGUUCGAUUGAGCUGAUUUCUGGACAGCAGCUAGGCGAUAAGGUGUUCUUGACUUUGUACGGUCGGAUUUUUCAUCCGAGUCUUGUAGCGUCGGAAAUACCCAUUUUUCAGCAGCUACGUUUUUGGUGAUGUUCUCUCAAAUUUCUCUCUUUUGCUAAAGAUUACAUAUUGUUAGCCUUGUCGGAGUUGAAUGCUUGUUGUAGGCUUGAUAUUGUGAUCUUGUAGUCGAACAUUUGAUGAUAGUGGAGCUCUUUAUCGGACUCUAAAGUCCCGUGAUUUUUACCCUUGAUUUAGAGGGGUUUUCCACGUAAAAAUAUCGGUGUUUCUAUUUAUUUUUGUUGUGGUUGCAUUAGUUGAUUUGUGGUUGAUUAAGGUUCCUAGAGAACAUAUUUUGUGCUAUUGUGCUUGCCAUAAUUUUUGACAGGAGUUAUAGGGAGAGAAAGAACACCGGUUGUGCUUUCGUUUUGUUUCGGUUGUUCGUUUUCUUCCCAACACAAAUCACAAACAAAAGCAUUUUUAAAUUCAAACUUAUUAACAUUAAGUUCAAAUUUUUGCAUCUAUGUUGGAAUCAUUUCAUUAAAAGAAUCUGUAAUGCAAUGUAUCUAAAAAGAAAAAAUCUCAGUUUGAUGAAAGUUUUGCGGUGUCAUGGAAGAGAUAACUCUAAAAUGUAGUACAUAAUGUUUUUUAUAUAAGGAAAGUUUUUGUGUUUUAUUAUUAAAAAAAACUAGGAAAAUUUAAAAAGGUUUGUAUUAAUUUAGUCUGAUCUGAUAGUUAGAAAAUUAUGUAUGGUGUCGGUAGAUCUUUCCCUUAAAAUGAAUAAUCAAGAAAAUAAGAAAUGCAACAAAUGAUAAAUAAAAAAGUUAAUAGUGGAUUGAACGAAGAAAUGUUAAAUUUCAGACUAGAAAACGACAAAGACUUAAAAGUCGAGUCAACUACUCCCGUAAAUAUCCUGGGGAUAUGUAAUAAAAAGAAUGGUUUAAACGACCAAGACUUGCAGUCAUUUUCAUGUCGAGGGGUUAGCUGUCCUCAAGUACACUAUUAAACUUACCGUGUAAAACAUGUUAAUGUAUGUAAAAGCAAUUACUUAUGCACUGUUCAUCCAUGGAAAGAUAAAUUUAAUUUGGAAGGAAGGUUCCUUUACGCCUUUGUGAAUGAGUCAACACAAGACUAAUGAAUCAUGGGCUCACUUUAAUUAGUAUGUUACAGUGGGUUUGAAACUUCGUACAUGCUAUUCCUAUAAAUUACCAACCAAUAGUUAGAUGUUACCCAACAAAUUCUCCUAGCGGAAAAAGAGCUUUUCUUUUUCCAAAAAAGAAAGAGAGAGUGCGAUGGACCUCCGUUGUCUGCUUAAGGAGAUUGCUACGUUUGCAGUUAACUUAACAAUUUUAGCAACUUGCGUAGCAGGUCAUGCAAAACCAGGGUGCCAAAGCAAGUGCGGAAAUCUAAGCAUCCCAUACCCUUUUGGAACAGGUAAUGGUUGCAACAUCAGCAUCAACUUCUUUAUCACAUGCAACACUACUUUCAAUCCCCCAAAAGCAUUCUUAACAACAGGUGAUCUUGAAGUUCUCUACAUCUCCCUGGACGGUUAUUUGCGCAUCCAAACUGCAGCAGGUUAUGACUGUUAUAAUUCAUCAGGACGUAGUUCCUAUCAAAUUAGAGGGAUCCGUCUUGCAAAAUUCCCCAUAUCUCAUACCAAAAACAAGUUUACUGCCAUUGGUUGUGAUACCUAUGCUUACGUCCAAGGUUCCUUGGGACAUACCUAUUCAACCGGGUGUUUAACAUUUUGUUAUAACACUUCUGAUGGAAUAAAUGGAUCUUGCUCUGGCAUUGGUUGCUGCCAGACGGUUAUCCCCAAAGGAGUAAGGGGUUAUAGUGUAAGGUUGUCUAGUUCUUACAAUCAUUCUUAUGUAUUAGACUUCAAUCCUUGUAGCUAUGGAUUUGUUGUGGAAGAUGGGGCCUAUAACUUCUCUGUCUCACAUCUUGCCGACAAUAGUUUUAGCAACAAGACAUUCCCAAUCAUACUUGAUUGGACAAUCGGGAAUCAAACUUGUAAAGAAGCCAAAAUGCAUCCACUUAAUUAUGCUUGCAAGGAAAACAGUGCUUGCAUAGAUGCAGAAAAUGGCCCUGGAUAUUUGUGCAAGUGUGUUUAUGGUUUUCAAGGUAACCCUUACCUCCUCCACGGCUGCCAAGGUAAAGACAUCAACUUCUUCAUUUUGGAUUCAUUUUGAUGAUAUAGCUUUGUGCCCGAUAUACUAAUUUUUGUUCUUUGGAAAUGUUUGAAUUAUGUAGAUAUUAAUGAAUGUGAUAAACUGAAGCCUUGCAGUGGAACAUGUCAUAAUACGCCUGGAAGUUAUUAUUGUUCGUGCCCGGAGGGGUUUGAGGGUGAUGGCUGGAAAAACGGAACAGGAUGCCGUCCUAAAGUCGUUACCCAGAGCCAGAGUUUUCCGGUUCUUGUCGUUGCACUAGGUUGGUAAACAUAAAAGCUAUUAUAUAAGUUAAGGGAUAAUAAUAACUUUAACCUUAUUUUUUUUUCAAAUUGAUAAUAUUUAUAUCUUUUUUCAGUUUGAUCCUUAUUUUUUUAGUCAAAAUUUGCAGUCCACAUUUUUAAAAAGUCCAAAUUUGACCCACAGCUUUUCAAAAAAUUAAAUUUAACUAUUGGUCUUUCAAAAAGUGUCCAAAUAUUAUAUUUAACAAAAAUAUUAACUAAAACAUUAAAUUUUUAAAUAUCGUAACCCAGAUGAAUAAUCCACAUGUACUUUAUACUAUAUUUUUAAUUUUUAUGAGUUUUUUUAUUGAAUUUUGAAUUUUGAAUUUUGAAUUUUGAAUUUUUUUAGUUUUGAAUAUUUUUAUAAUUUUUGAAUAAUUUGUAUUACGCAUGUAGAAUAAAUAAUGUCAUGUAUACAUGGACUACCACACGAGUCACCAGACCAAUAUCAUUAAAAAAUAAUAUUUUAGUUAACAUUUUCGUUAAAAAAAUAAUUUGACUUUUUUUACAAGAUUAAUAAUCAAAUUUAACUUAAAAAAAAAUAAGGAUCAAGUUGAUCAAAGAUGUAAAAAUAUGAGUAUACAUUUUUAAUAGCCAAAUUGGUAUAAAUGUACACAAAUUAGCUAAGUUUAAUUUUUUAGAUAUAAAUCCUUUAUUUUAUUAAAAUCAUAAAUUUUGCAGUUAUUUUUAAAAAAAUAAUCAUAUAAUCUUAAUGUUUCUAAUUACCCAACUAAUAAUCAUAUACAAAUGUAUUGUCUCCUUAAUUACUGGUAUAGGAGUAAGCCUUUUAUCUUCGCUUUUGUUCUCCUCAUGGGUGUACUUGGGGCUCAAGCAAAGGAAGCUCACCAAACUGAAACAGCAAAAUUUUCAGCAAAAUGGUGGGACUUUGUUGCGGGAACAACUUUCGAAACGUGAAGAGUGUGGCGAAACAGCUAAAAUCUUUACAGCCGAAGAACUAAAAAAUGCAACCAACAACUACCAUGACAGUAGAAUCGUUGGACGAGGAGGUCAAGGUACUGUUUACAAAGGAAUACUGUCUGAUGGUCGCAGUGUUGCCAUAAAAAAGUCCAUCAUUGGAGAUCAAAACUAAGUUCAACAAUUCAUCAAUGAAGUUAUUGUGUUAUCCCAAAUCAACCACAGAAAUGUGGUGAAACUCUUGGGAUGUUGUUUGGAGACACAAGUCCCUUUGCUUGUCUAUGAAUAUGUAAGGAAUGGAACCCUCUGUUAACAUUAAUGGGAGACAACAUUAAUGGCAAACAAUACAAAGUGGUGCAAGUUUAGCACCCUAAAGUUGACUUUGAAAAAGUGGCAUGGGAUAAUUUUUUUUGGUCCUUGAGAUAAUGGACUAUUUAUUGUUUGGUCCUUAAACCUCAACUAUAAAUAGGCCUUCUCAUUUUUCAUUUCAAUUCAUCCCAACCAAUCUUUCUCUCUUAGUUUUCUCUCUUCUCCCAUUUGAGAAUUCUUAAGGAAUUCUAUUUGUUUGUAAUAUUUUGGAGAUAGUAAAGUUAUCAUCUGGUUUUAGUAGCCCGAGGACGUAGGUAUAAUUUACCGAACCUCGUUAAAACUCUUAUGUUCUUUUUGUCCUAUUUUUCUUUCAAUAUUUGAGGGUAUAAUAGUAGUAUUUAAUUGUGCUAUUAAAUUACUAUAGAAGGGAUAUUCUGACUAAGGAAAGACUUGGUAUUUAAGAGAUCCAUGUGAUCCACCUCUCUUCCCUGGGAAUUGAACUUUGUGUGAUUUUUUAGUACAAUAAUUUACACGCUUCCGACCCUAUUGGAACAACAAGUGGUAUCAAGAGCCGAAGGUUAAUCGUAGUAUGCUCUGUGGUUGCAGUUUAAACUGAUCUUCCACAUCAGAAAAGAUUUCCUUAGGUAUAUUGAAAGAUUAUGGAGAAAACGGUCGGUGUAGGAGCUUCAACAUCGUCCAUGUGGACAAGACUGACAAUUGCAAAUGCAAGAUUGGCCGUGGAGAUCUUUGAUGGCACGGGCCAUUUUGGUAUGUGGCAAAGUGAGGUUCUAGAUGCCCUUUUUCAGCAGGGUCUAGACAUUUCCAUUGAUGAAGAGAAACCAGAUGAUGUACAGGAGAAAGAUUGGAAGACGAUCAAUCGGUUGGCAUGUGGCACAAUUCGAUCAUGCCUUUCUCGAGAGCAGAGGUAUGCUUUUUCAAAGGAGACUUCUGCAAAUAAGUUGUGGGUGGCACUUGAAGAAAAAUUUUUGAAGAAAAACAGUCAAAAUAAGCUCCACUUGAAGAAAAGACUGUUUCGCUUCACAUACGUCCCAAGUACCACAAUGAAUGAUCACAUCACCAAAUUUAAUCAGUUAGUCACUGAUUUGCUGAAUAUGGAUGAGACAUUCAAAGAUGAAGAUUUUGCUUUGAUGCUGUUGGGGUCACUUCCUGAGGAGUUUGAGUUCCUAGAAACUACUCUACUUCAUGGCAGGAGUGAUAUAUCUCUGAGCGAAGUCUGUGCGGCCUUAUACAGUUAUGAACAGAGAAAGAAGGACAAACAGAAAAACUCAAUCAGAGAUACAGAAGCUUUAGUAGUCCGAGGUCGUUCAUACACUCGGAAGAAAACUCAAAAGGGGAGAUCAAAGUCAAAGUCCAGACUCGGGAAAGAUGAAUGUGCUUUUUGUCAUGAGAAAGGCCACUGGAAGAAAAAUUGUCCAAAGCUGAAGAAUAAGGGAAAAGCUGCUGUAGAUGCUUGUGUUGCUAAGCAUGAUACUAGUGACUCUGAACUAUCACUAGUUGCAUCAUCAUCGUCAUUCCAUUCAGAUGAGUGGAUAUUGGAUUCGGGUUGUACCUAUCAUAUGUCCCCUAACUGAGAGUGGUUCUCUGAUUUAGUAGAACUAAAUGGAGGAGUUGUUUAUAUGGGCAAUGACAAUGCCUGUAAAACUGUUGGGAUAGGUUCAAUCCAAUUAAAGAAUAAAGAUGGAUCAACCAGAGUUCUGACUGAUGUUCGGUACGUCCCCAGUUUGAAGAAAAAUCUCAUCUCAUUGGGAGCCUUGGAAUCCAAUGGUUCAGUUGUUACUAUGAGAGAUGGGGUUUUGAAAGUGACAUCUGGCGCACUUGUGAUAUUGAAGGGUAUCAGGAAAAAUAACUUGUAUUACUACCAAGGUAGUACAGUUAUUGGAGCAGUCGCUGCAGCUUCCGGCAACAAAGAAUUGGACUCAAUACAGUUGUGGCAUAUGAAGUUGGGACAUGCCAGCGAAAAAUCCUUGCAAAUUCUGGCAAAGCAAGGAUUGUUGAAAGGUGCAAAGGCUUGCAAAUUAAAAUUUUGCGAGCAUUGUGUUCUGGGAAAGCAAAAGAGAGUGAAAUUCGGUACUGCUAUCCAUAAUACAAAAGGUAUUUUGGAAUAUGUUCACUCAGAUGUGUGAGGGCCUUCCAAGACACCUUCAUUGGGAGGAAAACACUACUUUGUUACUUUUGUUGAUGACUUUUCCAGAAGAGUUUGGGUGUAUACCAUGAGAACUAAGGAUGAAGUGCUUAGAGUUUUUCUUAAAUGGAAAAAUAUGAUCGGAAACCAGACUGGCAAGAAAAUCAAGCGGCUUAGGACGGACAAUGGAGGGGAAUAUAAAAGUGCUCCGUUCUUCGAUGUGUGCCAAGAGUAUGGUAUUGUUCGACACUUCACAGUUAGGGAUACACCACAGCAGAAUGGAUUGGCAGAGCGUAUGAAUCGAACAUUGCUGGAGAAAGUUCGAUGUAUGUUGUCCAAUGCUGGGUUGGGCAAGCAAUUUUGGGCUGAGGCUGUGACAUACGCUGGCCAUCUUGUUAAUCGUUUGCCAUCAUCUGCAUUAGAAAGAAAAACUCCUAUGGAGGUAUGGUCUGGAAAACCGGCUACAGAUUAUGAUUCCUUACAUGUGUUUGGAUCCACUGCAUAUUACCAUGUGAAGGAGUCAAAGUUAGAUCCGAGGGCAAAGAAAGCUCUCUUUAUAGGAAUCAAGUCUGGAGUGAAGGGAUUUCGACUUUGGUGCUUAAGCAUAAAGAAAAUGAUCUGUAGCAGAGAUGUUACCUUUGAUGAAUCUGCCACAUUGAAAAAGGUAGCAGAUAAAGAUAUUCAGACGAGCAAUACUCCACAGCAGGUGGAGUGUACUCCAAAACAGGUAGAGUUUGAGCAGAUGGGGAUUUGCCCAGUUAAUAAGUCUAAUUCUCCAGUCACAAUGGAGGAAUUAGAGGUUGAAGAGGUUCUGACCCAAGAACCACUAAGUACAUUAGAACCAGUUGCAGUUGCAAGGCCACGGAGAGAAAUUCGUAAACCUACUCGAUUUACUGAUAUGGUGGCCUACGCCCUUCCCGUUGUUGAUGAUAUUCCUAUCACUUAUCAAGAAGCAAUGCAAAGCUUAGAAAGUGAUAAAUGGAAAAGCGUCAUGGAUGAAGAAAUGCAGUCUCUCUGGAAGAACAAUACUUGGGAGUUGGCGCAAUUACUGAAAGGUAAAAGGGCAAUCGGAUGCAAGUGGGUAUUCGCAAAGAAAGAUGGAUCUCCUAGCAAGAAGGAUAUUCGCUACAAGGCAAGAUUGGUAGCUAAAGGCUACGCUCAGAAGGAGGGAAUUGACUACAAUGAUGUAUUUUCCCCUGUUGUGAAGCAUUCCUCCAUUAGAAUUUUGUUGGCCUUGGUAGCACAGUUGAAUUUGGAGCUAGCUCAACUUGAUGUUAAGACGGCUUUCUUGCAUGGUGAGUUAGAAGAGGAGAUCUAUAUGAUUCAGCCCGAAGGAUACACAGAUGCUGGUGGUAGAAAUUGGGUUUGUAAGCUGAACAAAUCGCUAUAUGGAUUGAAGCAAUCCCCGAGGCAGUGGUACAAGCGAUUUGAUAGCUUUAUGAGAAGGCAGAAGUACACAAGAAGCAAAUAUGACAAUUGUGUGUAUUUGCAGAAGCUGCAUGAUGGAUCUUUCAUUUAUCUACUCUUGUAUGUUGAUGAUAUGUUAAUCGCUUCGAAGAGCCAAAAAGAGAUAGAUAAGCUGAAGGCUCAGUUGAAUCAAGAGUUCGAGAUGAAAGAUCUAGGUGAGGCCAAGAAGAUUCUCGGCAUGGAGAUAAGUAGAGAUAGACAGAGAGGCAAGCUUUGUUUGAAUCAGAAGCAAUAUCUGAAAAAGGUAUUACAAUGUUUUGGUGUAAAUGAAAACACAAAACAUGUAAGUACCCCACUUGCUUCUCAUUUGAAACUUAGUGCUCAAUUAUCUUCGAAAACUGAAGAAGAAAGAGAAUAUAUGGCAAAAGUCCCAUAUGCUAAUGCAGUUGGGAGUUUGAUGUAUGCGAUGGUGUGUACGCGGCCUGACAUUUCACAAGUUGUUAGAGUUGUGAGCAGGUAUAUGCAUGAUCCUGGAAAAGGACAUUGGCAAGCUGUGAAAUGGAUUCUACGGUAUCUUCGAAAAACCGUAGAUGUUGGUUUAAUUUUUGAACAGGAUGAAGCACUUGGUCAGUUUGUAGUUGGAUAUGUUGAUUCCGACUUUGCUGGUGAUUUAGAUAAACGUCGUUCAACUACGGGGUAUCUGUUUACUCUUGCGAAAGCCCCAGUGAGUUGGAAGUCUACCUUACAGUCUACAGUAGCUGUGUCUACUACAGAGGCAGAAUAUAUGACAGUUACAGAAGCUGUUAAGGAGGCUAUUUGGCUUAAUGGAUUGUUGAAAGACUUAGGAGUUGUUCAAAGUCACAUAAGUUUAUAUUGUGACAGUCAGAGCGCUAUUCAUUUAGUGAAAAAUCAAGUCUAUCAUUCAAGAACCAAACAUAUCGACGUAAGAUAUCACUUUGUGCGGGAAGUCUUUGAAAAAGGAAAAAUUCUACUUCAGAAGAUUCCAACAGCAGAUAAUCCCGCAGAUAUGAUGACCAAGGUGGUAACAACAAUCAAGUUUAAUCAUUGUUUGAACUUGAUUAACAUCCUGAGAAUUUGAGCACCUUCAGGUGUAUGGCGCUCGAGAGUGCAUUUGUAGGCACUACAAAAGAUAGCUUUAUCGAAUUUGGGGAGUUGAAGGAAGUGUGUGAAGAUGUGAUUAUCCUAAUCAAAUCUUCAAGGUGGAGAUUGUUAACAUUAAUGGGAGACAACAUUAAUGGCAAACAAUACAAAGUGGUGCAAGUUUAGCACCCUAAAGUUGACUUUGAAAAAGUGGCAUGGGAUAAUUUUUUUUUGGUCCUUGAGAUAAUGGGCUAUUUAUUGUUUGGUCCUUAAACCUCAACUAUAAAUAGGCCUUCUUAUUUCUCAUUUCAAUUCAUCCCAACCAAUCUUUCUCUCUUAGUUUUCUCUCUUCUCCCAUUUGAGAAUUCUUAAGGAAUUCUAUUUGUUUGUAAUAUUUUGGAGAUAGUAAAGUUAUCAUCUGGUUUUAGUAGCCCGAGGACGUAGGUAUAAUUUACCGAACCUCGUUAAAACUCUUAUGUUCUUUUUGUCCUAUUUUUCUUUCAAUAUUUGAGGGUAUAAUAGUAGUAUUUAAUUGUGCUAUUAAAUUACUAUAGAAGGGAUAUUCUGACUAAGGAAAGACUUGGUAUUUAAGAGAUCCAUAUGAUCCACGUCUCUUCCCUGGGAAUUGAACUUUGUGUGAUUUUUUUAGUACAAUAAUUUACACGCUUCCGACCCUAUUGGAACAACACCCUCUUCCAUCACUUGCACAAUGCCGCUCAUUCAUCUAUCAUAUCAUGGGAAGCUCGUUUGAAAAUAGCCACAGAAGCAGCAGAAGCCCUUUCUUACUUGCACUCUGCUGCAUCUCCCCCGAUUAUUCAUCGCGAUGUCAAGUUGACCAACAUACUUUUAGAUGAAAACUACAUUGCUAAAGUCUCUGAUUUUGGUGCUUCAAGAUUGGUCCCUUCAAAUAAGGCACAAAUAACCACGCUUGUGCAAGGAACACUGGGCUACUUGGAUCCUGAAUACUUCCAUACAAGUCAAUUGACUGAGAAGAGUGAUGUUUAUAGUUUUGGGGUUGUUCUCAUAGAACUACUGACAGGUUUGGAAGCAAUUUCUUUUGAAAGACCGGAACAUGAGAGAAAUUUGUCUCUGUAUUUUGUUUCUGUUAUGAAAGAGGAACGCUUGCUAGAUAUUAUUGAUAAACGAGUGUUGAACGAUAAGAGCAUUGAGCAGCUUAAGGAAGCGGCAAAUUUAGCUAGGAGAUGUGUGAGAUUGAAGGGAGAGGAAAGGCCAACUAUGAAAGAAGUUGCGUCUGAGUUAGAAGGAUUACGAACAACGCAGAAACAUCCAUGGGGAAUACACGACUUACCUGAUGAAGAGACUGAAUACUUGCUUCAUGGCUCUUAUGAUUGUGGCACUAGCUAUGAUGGCUCAACUAGCUUCACUGUGGGCCCUGACAGCAUGAAAAACCAGGUCCCAUUUGACAUUGAUGGUGCACGGUGAUUCUUUAAUUUUCCUUUGGUAUAAAAGAAGCCACUAAAAUGGACGGACACUAAAUCCUAUAUUCGCUAUGAUAUCCUUUUCUUUUCAUUGGAGUACGUAAUGUUAUUAGUGUGUUUUUAUAAAAAAAAUUAGAUUGCUCAAAGUUUUUAUAUUUUGGAUUUAAUUAUUAGUACUAGUUUUAGCACUUCUAAACCCAAGUCUAAUAUUUUCGAUGUGAAAAUUAAUAUGAUCAACAAAAUUUAUCCCUUUUUCUCUGAAAAUGAUGUUAAAAUGCAUAAAAUAUUUUUGGAAAAAGAAAAUCAAUCCCUAACCGUAGAAAUAACCAUGAAGCAUGAAUUUGAUCUCUUAUAAUCCAUAUUAUCGAAAUUAUGCAUUUUAAUUCAAUCUGGAAAUUUUGGCCCAAAAAUUGAAAUUGUCAUAAGUAGGUAUGAUUUUGCAUUAGAAGGAUGACUAGAUCUACGGUAAACUAUAACAUCUCAGAUUAUAUUCUAGGGCCAUGGAAUGUUACAGUUAUGUGAGCAUCAUGUUCAAACAAUAGCAGACUUUAUAGGUUCUUCUUCCGUGGGACGCCAAAAUGUCUUACGAACACAAAGUAAUCCCUCGUUGUCCUUGGAAUAUAUCAUUCGGAUCUCCCAUUGUAGUGAUUUAGCCAUGCUCUCCACCUCGCUUAUUGUUUCAAGAUUGUCUCGUACGAUCAGCUUUCCUUCUGGCCUCAGAAUCCGAUCAACUUCAACAAUUACCGCAACCAACUUGCACCUGUGGCCAGGAAAACAACAUCAAAUCUAUUAGGGAAGUAAUCUUGGUUGAGAAUGACAUCUGCAAGAAAUAUAACAGGGAAGAGAGCAAACCUCUUUUUGAUACUAGAGAAGAGAUGAUCAGCAUGAACAACAUCAUACGUUCUAGGGUAUGUAUUAAAUGACUCACACCAAUCAUGAUACAUUCCGAACAAGCCCCGUUCAUAGAUUAUUGGAAGUGUAUCGGGAGAGUCGAUUGGAACUACAUUCAUAACCCAAACUUUCAGGUAUUUCAGGGCCGCAGCAAACCUGUACACAGAAGCAAACAAGCAUAUGGGAAGAAUAAGCCCCAAGAGAAUGUAAACGUAAGUUUACAAUUAAGCUGAGCUUUUAGAUUUCAGUUAGGGUAGUUUCGGUCUUGAUUAGGAAGGGCUAAAUGAAAUCUGUCAUAGCUAGCAAGAGGUCAAACAAAAUACCCUCCAUAAACGGCUUUCAUAUCCAUGACAUUUCUCACAGAAGACCAGUCGAUUCCCAUCCCACUCAAAUAGGACUGGGAGACCACUUUUUUCCAGUGACUGUAGUCUGCAGUGAGAUCACUCUGUGCAGCUUUACCAUAAACGCCAACCUGAGAAUUCAACCAAUAUGGUGGCUUCUCCAACCGUUCCGGCCACUGUGCAGGCCAAAAGGAACCACGCUUUGUUGAAUCUACUGGCACUUUGUGCAUGCAGGCCUGAAGGGGUACAUCCCUGAUGGCAUAAACCAGAAAAUAUUGUCCAAUUAAAGUAUUGCAAAACAUUAUUUGUCAAAAAGGUAGGGAGUAUUUGAAAUGCUCCUUUAAUCUAGAGAAGUUUCCAAUUGAUUAUGAACUUUAUCUCAUAACGUAUUUAGGCAUAAUUUACACUUAUAAUGGAAUUGGACAAAUUACUUCCAGUCAAGGAAAAAUAUACUGAUGGUAAAAUUACCAGGCUGCAUUGGGGUCAUCAGAUUCUUCACAAAGUGGAGGUGCAUUUCUAGAUCUUUUAUUGUAACAAUCAUUGGAAGUUGGCUUUCGAUAUAUUGCAGCUCCAACAUUGUUCAACUUGUCCUUUUUAACAACCACCAGUUCCCAGCACAUUGACUUUGUUAGCCGAGACAUUUCUGCCAUCAGUAACCACAGCUUACAAAAUGGAAAGGAGGAUAUGUAAAGCUAAACCAAAAUAUUACUAUCUUCAGAAAUAUAUGACUGGGGUAAAAGCAUUUUACCUUGCCAAAUGCCAACAUCUUCAGGGCCCUUCCUAUAAACUGGUGUAGCAGACCAAACAAAGUAACCACCAGGUCGCAGGACACGGUUGAGCUCUAACAGAAGUUUGCCACCUAAUAUAUGCCUCAAAAUGUGUCUCUGUAUUAGAAAUAAUAUAACACUAUAUAACUAAAUGACUAUAAAUAUGAGAAAAUGAGAUCCCACCUUCGACAUGCCAGGGUACCCUGCAACGUGCACAGUGCACAAGAUCAAAGACAGAACUAGGAAAAGGUAACCUUUUGGUACCCAUCACAUUUAAUAUGGCAGGAAUUCCCCGUUCAAGUGUAAACUGCACUUGGGCUUCAUGCUCAUCCUUAGGUGCAAAUGACAUUGCAAGAACGUUUCUUUCGAAAAGAUAGCCUCCAAAGCUAGCCACCCCACACCCAACAUCCAAUACAACACGGGUUCUUUUUCCCCAAGCAAUUUCAGGAACAGACUGCAUUAUUGAAGCAAAUAUGCAUUCAAAUUUACAUAGUCAGAUAAUAGUCAGGAAAAAGAAUAAAAGCCAUACAAACUGAAUCCUAAAACAGUUAGCUUACAUGACUAAAAUAUUACACAAGUAGAAGAAAGGAGCAAAAUAAAAGUUAAAGGGAUACAUGAGGGAUACAUGUAUAAAAAGGAGCAGAAACAACAUUAACUAGCAGGGGAUGAUGGUUUGAGUAUAAGUUUUUGAAGAAAAAAAAUAAUGUCAAUGUCUUGAAAUAACUUCAAGUUCUUUGGGGAGGCACUGGUUACACAAUUAUAAAUAAUCAGAGACGUGUAACCAGAUAGACUUCUGCUUCAUUGAUGAAAUGACAUAUCAAAGAGAAAGAAAACCCUAGUAACUAAAAAUAGGCUAUAGCCAAUUUGCUUAUUAGAAAGAAUUAAGUUUGUGCUCAAGCACGUCUAUGUAUGAUUGUAUACAAGUACACAUGUACAGAGAGUGAGAGUCAGCUUAUUAGACUUAUGUAUAUCCAUGUGUAUACAAGCUGAAGCUUAAGAAAUACCUCAUUUGGAUACCUUGUAUAUGAUUGGCCUGCAUAUGGUCAUUUAUGCAGCAUUUCUAAAUACAAGAACUGUACUGAUGCAUGGAUUUAAGAAGAUCAUAGACCCAAUGAUUUUAAUCAUGUCAAUAGUAAACUAUCUAGGAAAAAGGAAAGGGAAAUUCUUAAAGUUGUUCUUCUCAAUUACAUGCUGCUUUUUCCUUUGAACGUGUAAUAAAAGUAGCCGGUAAUCUCAUAUCAGCAAGCACCAAGGCAAACUAAAAAGAAUAAUAUAUCCAGACAGGCUAUGUCAGUAGACAGAAAAUAUAUAUAACGAAAAGGACUUACCUCUUGAAUAAAAUCGAUAUAAUGAAGAGCACCAUUCACAAACUGAGUUCCACCACCAGGAAAGGUAAGGUAUUCACCAGUAACCUUAACCCAAUUUUGAUGCCCCUUAACCUCUGCAAGCUUGGUGUGGGGGACAUUGUAGUACCAUAUCUGCACCAAGCACCAAAGAAAUUUCAAUCAAAAUAAAUACACAAAACGAAAGCACUUGUUCAUGCAGUAAAUAGGUGCUUACUUUAUCUCUACUCUUAGGCCACUUUACCGAGCGCUUGUAUCCUUCAGGCAGAGGGACAAGACAUGUAGGAGCUUCAUCAGGACAGUGUCUCUCACGAUGUUCAUAGUGCAUUGUGCUUGGAAGCUUUCUGAUAACUUGCCAAUUGUCUAGGCAAGGUAUGUAGUCUGGCCCAGCAGUUGACUUACAGAGUUUCCAAUGGUGAUCAUUAUUUUUACUGGAUGUAGAAGACUGUUGUGAUUUCUUCUCAUUCUGGGAUUCUACUGCUUGAGUAGACCAAGCUCCAUUUUGAGUAGUAGUUUCGGUCAAAAUUUCUGACUGAGCACCAGCAGGGAGAAUCUCAUUUGAAGCUUGAUUGUUUUCCUUGCUUUCCACAAUAUUGUGAUCAGCACUUAGCUCCAAAUGUUCAUCUUGAUUUUUACCAUUCUUCUCCUCGGUCAAAUUUGCCUCUUUACCAACAUGUUUUAAUUUAUCUGCAGUUCCAUCUACCCCAUAAUUCUUCCCACUCUCAGCAGACUCAGAUCCGUUUUCACCUGAGCUCUCCUCUGAUUCAGUGUGCAACUUGUUUUUCAUUUCACCACCUUCAUUCUCUGCUUCUCCAGUCUCUAGAUUUGAUUCUCUGUCUCUUGAAUUUGUCUCCCUAUCUUUCCCAUCAUCUUCAUCCAACAUUUUUUGUCCACUUUCUGACUCGGUUUUCUCAUCAGAACUCUCAUUUGCAUGAUUUUCUCCCAGGUUUUUCUCAGCUGAAUUCUGAGACUCCUUUUCCUCAUUAUUACUCUCAACCACUAGGGUGUCCAAUGAAUUAUCCUCAUUAGUGAUCCCCAAUUCUUUACUAGACAGACCACUGCCAUAUUCUCUUGUUUCAGCCCCGGAUAGAUCACCUGAGGUAUCAUCAAAUUGCUUAGAAACACUUUUUGACAAUGUUUGUUUCAUCUCAUUUCCGGUCUCCAUAGAUAAAAAUUCUGAAUUCUUAACUGGAACAAUUGAUGAAGACAUGAACAUCCAAAUCCCAACUAAACAAAAAAUAAGAAACACAACUAUAGUAGCUAUCGAGCAGUAACUCGAUGACUUCCUCCCAUCUACUCUGGAAUACUUUCCGGUAGCCAUGCUUCUUUCUAUUGGAUUUUCUUGCUAUAUACAACUGGAAGGGCAAUAACAACUAGCAAUUAGUAUCACAAACUUCUACCGAUCCAUUCAUUUUUCUAAGGAAAACCAAUAGCUGAAAAUAUUAAAGCCAAAACCUCCCGCAGAAGUGACCAUUAAAUGUUGCUAUUAAAGAGUUAAACCCUAGAGUAAGUAAAAGCUACUCUUACCAGUAAACGAGAAACGUCAUAGCCUAGGUAACAAUAAAUCAGAUAGAUACUGCAUUUUUUUCUGAAUACAAUCUUCCAAAUAAAGAUUAAAACUUCAUACUCAAAAUGAAAUCCUUUUUUUUUUAAAAUUUACGAAAGAAACCCAGUUCCCAAAAGUCCACUAGAAUGUGAUUUUUAAUCUUUAGCCAUUAAAAGUUCAACUUACAGAAACCCUGAUCAGCAAAAAAAGAAAAAGAAACAGUAACUUAAAAACACCAUUAGAAGCGCUUCAAUUCCACGAAAAAAAAACCAUAACCAAGACAAUCCCUUAAUUGAUAAGGAAAGAACUCAGCUACACAACCAAAUGAUAUCUAACUUGAAAACAUGAACAACAAAGGAGAACAUUUUUUUAUUUAAAAAAAAAAAGAAAAAGAAAAAGAAGAAGAAGCAAGAGUAAUAUGUUCAAGACUGUACCUUUGGUGAAGGGUUGUUGAAGGGAUCUGGGCUUGGAGAAAUAUAGGUGGUUAUGCCAAUUUUUUUACUCUCAUAAUUAAAAAGAGUGGGGAUGAAUGAUAGAGGGGUGAAAUGAAGCAGAAGCUGCUACUGACUUGAUUUCUUUAUGCAAAGCGGAGGAAGUCCAUUCCAACGGUAUUUGACGGCAGAUGAUUAGUAUAUUGUAGUUGACUGGAUUCCAAAGUUACCAUGGAAACCGUAACAUUUGGAAACAUUAGAAAUGAUCUUGAAUAUUGUGUACUCAUUACUUGGCAAAAUUGACUCAUUAUGAUUUCACAUGCACCUGACUCAACUUUGGGAAAUUUCUCUAUAAAAAUUAUUACUCAAAUGAUUUUAUAAAACAUUUAUUAUUACUAUUUUUUAUAUAAAAAAAUAACUACUCUCAAGAUAAAUAUUUAACAUUUUAAUAAGAAAAUAAAUGAUUAAAUGACUGUAAUUAAUUAUUAAGUUAGAAUUAUUCAAUGUAAGUAAUUAAUUUCUCACAUAUCAAAUUUUUAUUAAAAAUUGAGACGUUAAUCAUGAUUUUAUAUUAUUUUUUUUUAAUCUAAUCUCUAUUUCAUUAGAGAUAUUUCUUCCUAACUAAAAUAUAACUAUUUUGCUAGAUGUUCGAUGUACAAUGAUUUUAGUUUUUAUAUUUCAUUUUUAUUUAUUAUAAUUUGGUCCUAUCCAAAAUAGAUAUAUCUAUCCAAAUCAAUCUGUUACUUUUUUUUAUUUAUUAAUGUUUUUUAAAAUCUAAUAUUUAAAUAUAUCAAAUAGUUUAGAUUAAAUAUAUUUAAAUAUAUAAGUAUUAAUUAAUUGUAUAAAAUUUUAUCAUUAAGUAAAUAAAGGAAAAUUAUAUGGCACUUUGGUCUUGAUGGUAAGUAUAGUGUAAAGUCAAGUCAUAGAUGGACAAUAAAUUUAUGCUCAAAUGUAAAUAUUUUAAUUCGGGACAGACAAGUUUGGCAUUUGCAUAUCCCUCCUCAUGUGAAGGAGCUUAUUUGGCGUUGUUUGCACUUCUUUCUUCCGAUUAAAAGUUGGCUUCUGAAAGGGGUAUUCCCGUUAUACAAGUAUGUAGGGAGGAGGAUGGGAAUGAGGACAUUGAGCAUGCCUUGUUGAGCUGCUGUAAGGUGCAAGUUGUUUGGACUACAGCAACAAUACCUACGGAUGGGAUUACUUUUUCGGAUUUCUCGUCGGGAUUGCUGACUUAGUCGAACAACGAGGCUCAGCAGGCUUGGGUUGUUAUGGCAAAUGUUUGCAAAUGUUUCCAAUCAUUAUGAUCUGUUAUGGGAAUUUAAGAAAUGGUUUUGUAGUUAAAGUCUGUUAAAAGUAGUUAGGAUUAUCUGUUAGGUGUUAAAGGUGGUUAAGGGACUGCAUGUAUUAAAUACGUGAGUAUUCCUAUCUCUUAAGCAACAGAGAAUGAAAGAAGUUGUUUUGAUUCAGUUUGUUCUAUACUUCAACAUGGUAUCAAGAGCCAAGAAACUUCUGGUGUAGUUUUUUUUUUCUUUUCUUCUCUGCUUUCUUUUUUUCAUGGCUACUGAUCCUGUGCCUGGGGUUGAUACGUCCUGCCCGUCUGCUGAUUCUCGGAAUGCUGCUCCUUCACCUGGUUUUGGCAGAGUUGUGUCACCCAUGAUUCACUCCUUUUCCAAGCAUGACACCAUCAAACUUACUGAGGCUAAUUUUCUUCUCUGGAAACAUCAACUUUUGUUCAUUCUUGAAGGUUAUGAUCUUGAAGGAUUUGUCCAAGGUACUCUUCCAAUUCCCUCUCCUCUUGUUGCUGGAGUCGAUGGUCAGUUAAUUGAUAACCCAUUGUUUCUUGCUCAUAAGAAACAAGAAAAAUUUCUUUCUUCUUGGCUACUGUCCACAGUUUCGGAUGAGGUUCUAGUUCAUCUUACAACAGCUAAAACUAGUUUUGAUAUUUGGUCUACUAUUGAGAAACGGUUUGGAGUUAAAUCUAAUCUAAAAGUUUCAAGAAUGCGUCAUGAUUUGUAUUCUCUCAAGAAGGCGAAUCUCACAGUUAAUGAAUAUUUGGCAAAGGUAAAACGGUUGAGUGACAGUCUUGCUGCUGCUGGAAGUGUAGUUACUGAGCAAGAGCAAGUUAGCAUUAUCUUGGCUGGACGCUCGCUAGAGUUUGAGUCUAUUCGCGUGAUUGCUUCAGCUAGUCCUAUGUCUCUCGAUCUUCUGACUGAAAUGAUUCUUGAUUGUGAGACACGACAGAUAGAAUUGUUAGCAGACGUACCUAUGCAGGCUAAUGUGUCUUCCUAUUCCAAGAAUCCUCAUCACUCGAAAAAUAAUAGUGAUUCAAAUGGUUAUACUCAAGAUUUUAGAUAGGGCAGUAGAGGACAUGAUAGGAGUUAGUCUCGUGGUAGGUAUCGUGGCAAUGGUAGGGGGUGGUCGCGUUCCAAACCCCAGUGUCAACUAUGUGGUAAAGUUGGACAUGUGGUGCAAUCAUGCUAUCACCGAUUUGAUGAGAAUUUUUCUGGAGUGGAGUCUAACGACUCAAAAACUGUCAAUUACCAUCGUUAUGAGCAGCAGUCUUCUUCUUCUUGUUGCAACUCCCAUUCACAACCAUCUCCUUCCUCAGUUCCACAGCCUUCCCGAUCUUUUUCAGAUUCUUCAGCUCAAGCUUGGUAUCCUGAUUCUGGAGUCACAAAUCACAUCACUCCUGAUGUAACCAAUCUCUCGACUGUCUCUCCUUACACAGGUACGAAUCGGGUCUUUAUGGGCAAUGGUGAGCAUGUUUCUAUAGCGCAUGUAGGCUUUUCUUCUAUGUUGGCUGGUUCAAGGGUUUUACAUCUUAAAAAUGUGCUUCAUGUGCCUACUGUUUGCAAUAACCUAUUGUUUGUUGGACAGUUUGCUAGGGACAAUUCAGUUUAUUUUGAAUUUCACCCCUAUAUGUGUUUUGUGAAGGAUAUUCAGACAGGGAUGAUUCUUCUCAUGGGCCAUAUGCAUAAAGGCCUCUACCGGUUUGAUGUCUCCCAAGAUGGUUCUUCCAAGAUGGUGCUACCCAACUCUAUGUCUGUGUAUCAAGGUAAGCUCUUUUCCACACCUUUGCUGUGGCAUAAUCGGCUCAGUCAUCCGUGCAAUAACACCAUUGUUCGAGUAUUAAAGAAUUGUAAUAUUUCUUUUCAGCAUAAUGGUUUGCCAAGUGUGUGUGCAGCUUGUCAACUCGGCAAAUCUCAUAGACUUCCAUUUAGCGCGUCAAAAACAGUCUAUUCUGUUCCAUUUGAACUUGUUGUGUCUGAUGUUUGGGGACCCGCUCAUUCAAGUCAAAUGGUUUCUGCUACUAUGUGUCUUUUGUUGAUAUGCACAGUAGAUAUACCUGGUUGUAUUUCAUAAAGGUUAAGUCUGAAGUGUUGAACUGCUUUCUUCAUUUUCAACAAAUGAUUCAAGCACAGUUUGGUUACUCUAUAAAAAUGCUUCAGACCGAUUGGGGGGUGAAUAUCGCCUUCUGACCACUGAAUUGUUCAAACGUGGUAUCCAACACAGAAUUACAUAUCCCCACACCUCGGAACAAAAUGGUGUGGCUGAACGGAGACACCGACAAGUUGUUGACAUGGGUUUAACUCUUCUGGCUCAAGCAUCAAUGCCUCUAGAAUUCUGGUCUUCUUCAUUUUCUCAUGCAGUCCAUGUAAUCAACAGGCUACCUACACUUGUUCUCCAAGGCAUUAGUCCCUAUGAAAAACUGUAUAAAGAGCUACCUGACUACUCUCGUUUGCGAGUUUUUGGUUGUGCCUGUUUUCCUUACUUGCGGCCAUAUAAUCAACACAAACUUCAGUUUAGGUCCAAGUGUUGUACGUUUCUUGGUUUUGGACGUAAUCACAAAGGCUAUAAGUGCCUCGAUGACACUGGUCGUGUGUUUGUGUCUCACCAUGUUGUCUUCGAUGAGACUCAGUUCCCGUUUCAGCAAGGGUGUUCUUCUCGAACUCUAGUUUGUCCCAAGGAGCAACCUCGUCAGCAGUCUCAUAUUCCUGUUGUUACAGCGCCAGCUUCUAACUCUCAUUUUUGGUUCUGAAGCUAGCCCAACCACCUCAUCUUCAAUCGCACCUCCUACAUCAGUUCCUUCUAACUAUAGUUCUCAUGUUGAUGUGUGUCUUCCUCUCCUCCAGCUUCUGAAUCCUCACCUUCUUCUUCUCCCAUUAGGCCAGCUGUGAAUAAUCACCCAGUGCAGACUCGUUCUAAAUGUGGCAUUUAUAAACCGAAAGUGUUCUCAUCAAUGGUGGCUGUGAAGGAACCAGCUUCCAUACAUGAAGCUUUUCAGAGUCCUGAGUGGUCAGCUGCUGUCCAAGCUGAAUAUCAAGCCUUGCUUGCGAAUCGUACAUAGGACCAUAUGCCCUUACCUGCAGGCAGAAGAGCAGUAGGGUGUAAGUGGAUAUUCAAAGUGAAGAAGAAUACUGAUGGUUCCAUAGCACAAUACAAGGGUCGGUUAGUGGUAAAAGGCUAUCUCCAAGAAGCCGUAUUGAUUUUCAUAAGACUUUUAAUCCGGUGGUGAAGCCUACAACAAUUCAGGUGGUUCUGUCAGUAGCAUUAUCCAUGGGAUGGUUUCUAAGGCAAGUAGAUUCAAUAACGCGUUCCUUAAUGGUGAUUUAAAUGAGGACAUAUACAUAGUGCAACCACCAAGUUUUGAACAAGGAGGGGUUAAUGGCCAGCAGCUGGUGUGCAAAUUAAAGAAAGCGUUGUAUGGGCUUAAGCAAGCUCCUCGAGCUUGGUUUCACAAGCUGAGGGAGUUUCUCUUAACUAGUCAGUUUGACAUAUCAAAGGCUGAUAAUUCUCUUUUUAUCAGAAAGUCUGGGGAUCAGCUGUUGUACGUACUGGUGUAUGUAGACGACAUCAUAGUCACAGGGUCUGAUUCAGGUGCUAUAAACCAGUUUGUCAAGGAUCUUGAUUGACAGUUUUCUUUAAAGGAUUUAGGGAAGUUGAGUUAUUUUUUAGGCAUUAAGGUUCAUUAUACCUCAGAUGGGCUGGUUCUCAAUCAAAAGAAAUAUAUUCAAGAUCUUCUUAAGAAGGCUUCUAUGGAAAAGUCUAACAGCUCUCCUACACCAAUGGUGUCUACUUGUCGACUGUCAGCUCAUGAAGGAAGGCCGGUUGACGAUGAGACCCGUUUUCGAAGUUUAGUGGGGGCCCUCCAGUAUGUGGUAAUCACUCGACUGGAUAUUGCUUUUUCAGUAAACAAAGUCUGCCAGUAUAUGGACCGACCCUUAGAUACGCAUUUUAAAGCAGUGAAGAGAAUUUUGAGGUAUUUGCAAGGUACACUAGACUAUGGUCUGCAUUUUCAUCGAACAUCUAAGUUUAUUCUUGAAGGUUACUCAGAUUCAAGCUGGGGGUCUGAUGUUGAUGACCGGAGAUCCACCUCGAGUUAUUGUAUUUUUCUUGGAGGGAAUCCAAUCUCCUAGAACUCUCGCAAACAGCAAGUUGUGUCCCGUUCGACUGCCGAAGCAGAAUAUAGGAGUUUGGCGAAUGUCAUAGCCGAAUUGAUCUGGCUUCAGUCGUUGUUGGCUAAAUUAAGUGUCUCGGUUCAGAAGAAGUCAUUGGUUUGGUGUGAUAGCUCUGCUGCAGUUGCUGUAGCAGGCAAUCCAGUCCUGCAUUCAAAAUUUAAGCACGUAGAGCUGGACGUGUUCUUUGUAAGAGAGAAGGUAGCAUCGGGUGUGCUUCAAGUUGGUCACGUGCCCAGUGAGGGUUAGGUUGCUGAUGUUUUGACAAAACCAUUGUCUGCAUUACUGUUCACCAAGUUCAGGAGGCAGCUUCAAGUUGCUUCAUAUGAAAGUUAGAAGUGUAUGGAGAAUGUUAUGGGAAUUUAAGAAACGGUUUUGUAGUUAAAGUCUGUUAAAGUAGUUAGGAUUAUCUGUUAGGUGUUAAAGGUGGUUAAGGGACUGCAUGUAUUAAAUACGUGAGUAUUCCUAUCUCUUAAGCAACAGAGAAUGAAAGAAGUUGUUUUGAUUCAGUUUGUUCUAUACUUCAACAUGAUCACAUCAUUAUUGAGUCGGAUUGCGUGUCAGUAAUGAAUGGUGCAUAGAAUCGAUCCAUUAUUGACAAUUCGGAGUUUGGUUGUUUAAUUUUAAAUUACUUAAUGUUGAGUUUUUUAUUUCAUCACUUAUCAUUUAGUUAGGUGUGUCGAUCCACCAAUAAAGUAACUCACACUGAAGAGUCUACUUUAUUGUCUUCAUUUUUUGAUAUUUUGAAUGAUAACAAUUUUUCUGUAUCGUCUUAUGGGUGUUUGGGUGAAUAUAUUGACUCGGAUCUUAAUGUUUCUCCCUAUUAAUUGUUGAUUUUGCUGAUUAGGUUCCAUUCGAAUAUAAGUUUUAAAAAUAAAUAAAUAAAUAAACAAAGGAAAAAAAAACAUAAACAUAUAUCUAUAACAUUACUUUAAAUAUAUUUAUAAUAAAAUUAUCUCAUACUAAAUAUAUAAAAUGAAAGUUUACUAAAAACAUAAAUAUAAAGUUGUGUUGGUGAAGCUUCUAAAAAUUGUCUUUUUUUUUUAUUUUGAUUGUUAUAUAAAUUUUUUAUUUUUUAUUAAUUUUCUAUUUUAAAAUUUAAAGUUAGCUCAUUUACUUCGGUAAAAGUUUAAAUUUUAAAUUUAGGUAAUAAAAAAAUUUUAAAGUUCGUAAAAAAUAAUAAUUUUAUCUAUUUUUAACCUUAUUCAUUCAUUGACUAGUGCCAAUGUUUUAGUCGGUGUAACCCAAAUUUACAUGGAUACAAAAAAGAGAAGUGAAUGUUUUACUUUAUUACUAAAACAAUGCACACAAACCGAUGCAAUUGACUAUUGAUCUGAAAUUGUUAAAAAAAAUUAUUAGUUGUUGGCUUGAAAUUAAAUAAAAAAAUUUCAAAUAAAGAGGUAAAGUUUAUUUUUAUUAAAAUUAUAAAUUAUAAAAAAAAAUAACUAUUUUGAUGUUUAUAAUUUCAAAAGGAAUUUUGAGUUUUGAUAUUUUAGUAAAAUACUAGACCGGCUGGUUAAUAAAAAUUUUUAACGGUAUUCGUGAUUUAGAUUAAGAAAUAACAUUAGUAAUAGUAGCAAAACUAUGAUAAAUUAAAGAAAUAAAUAUUAAAUUAACAAAUGAAUUUUAAAUUUUUUAUAAUGCAAACAUGAAAUUUAAUUUAAAAUAAAUAUAAAUAUAAAACUUUAAUUUUAAUUCAAUUAUAUAAAAAAAUUAUUUUAAUUCAAUUAUAUUCAAUUAAAAAAAUAAAUGUAUCAACUUUAUUUUCAUAUUUGAUAAAUAUAACUAUUUUUAUAUUCAAUAUGUAAAUGUUAAUAUGAUAUAAUUUAUGAAAACUGAAAUCAAAAUAUUAUAAACUCAAAAUUCGUCUAGUCUUUGCCAAAAUUAAGAGAUACAGAGACUAUAGCAGCCCAAAAAAAAAGUAUAUUAACGAUACCCUCUCAGCCCUUUCAGCUCUUCUGGGUAUACUAUAGCCAUACUUGUGAAUUUAUGAGAAAGAUAAAAUAUUCAUUCUUAAGCAUUGAAUAGCUUCAAAGAGCUGUAUUGCAAAUUAUGCUUACUCUGCCACAUUGCUCAAACGAAUAGCAGUUUUCAAUUUCUAGGUUGUAAGGCUCUUGGGUCCUCCAACAAGUUUCCAAGCUUCCAAACUGAAAGUUGUGUUCAUGGGAAAGGAACUACCAAACUAUUCUGCAGUAAUCCCAAGAACCUACAUCCUUUCCCACUGUGACUUCACAGCCAACUUAACAUUCACAAUCUCUAAUGUCAUCAACCUUCAUCAGGUACGAAUUCCAUUAGUUUCUAUCUUAGGAUUUGAACUUUGCACACUCUUUUUAUUUACCUAAAAGCAUGAUGGUGGUAUAAACAGUAACAUAUUUCAUGGAGUGAGCUAUUUGCAUUCAGUGCUCAGUUGAAAGGUUGGUAUAACAAGGAUGAUGUGGCUGCUGAGUGGAAGAAAGUGAAAGAGACCACGUUUCUGAACGUGCACUGUAACGUAGGCGGUCCGAAUCUCUUGCUGCUUAGUUUAGAUAACCACAUUUUCUCCAAGGAACUGCCUUUGCUAAGUUUUCCUCUAUUGAAUCAGGAAAAGAAUAGGACUAAACGAUGAUUAGGAAAUUUAGAAAUCGGCUUUGAAGUUUUGGACUUGGAGUCUUAAAUAUGUCAUAUUUGUGAUCUCAAUAUGAACUUGCUCCUUCAUUUAGCCAUUUCAUAGACAGAUUUUCUUUUUCUUUCGGCAAGCUGUGUUUUGACAGUGCUAGCGACAUUUUCAUGGCAAUGUUGUGUUGCAACAUAAACCAGGUACAUAAAGCUGUGCUGCAUGGAGAUUCAGUCCUGUUCGCAAAUCACCUGGAGCUAACGAACGCUGGAUGAUUAAACUCGAUUAUUGAACCAAGGUCUUCUUUUUUUUAAUCUCAGAUAUCGUAGCAUUAUUUGAAGCAACAUUAUUGGAAAGUACCCUUGUUCCAAGUUAACUGCCGAAAGUUCCUCUCUAACAGCAAAGUGGGGAAGAAGUUCAAAGUCCAUCUUUCAAGCACUGUUGACCUUCCUUCUUUAAUCCGUGACUCGAAACAAGGGGUCCAUUUCAUUAAAGGAUUUUUCUUCCAGUUCUGUUUGUGAUUGAUUGAUUAAGAAAUGUAAAUGCAUAUUUUCUUAUUCAACUGAGCCCAUUUCCUUCAUUCACUGACUAAUUGGCUAUGUAGUGAUCAAUUUUGGUCCGGGUCCGCUAAAAAAUCCCAAACCUAUAUAUAAAAUAAAUAAAUAAAUAAUAAAAAAUCACAGUCCAAUUACAGAAACCAAUAGCCCAAACUAGCAACCCCCAACCAGUUACAUAACCCCAGCCCAACAACUAAACCUAACCCACACUUACAAGGCCCGAUAGGCCCAAAAUACUAAAAUUAGACAGAGACCUAGCUGUCUGCUUGCGCCGCAGCAGUCCGAGCCCCCCAGCGCCUCCGUCCACGCCAACCCUGGCCUCCGUACCGUCAAGCACAGCCUCCGUACGCCAACACAGUCCCGUACCCGAGCGCCACGCACCUGCACCUGCAAAGAAAUGGACAAAACGACAACAGACCCAACAACAAAUAGAAAGAAAGAAAAAAAAAACAUUGUAUUUUUUAUUAGCAUUUGGCUAUAAAGCCUACGGAUUCUGAUUGUAAAGGGGUUCCCCUUUUGAAAAUAUACAGAAAACAUAUGCAAUAGCAAAACAAAAAGGCAAUAGACGAAAUAAGGUGAUUUUCCCUUCGUUUUUUUUAAACUCUCUGCUCUUCCUUUUUUUUUUAUCUACUCGAGUCCUUUGUUAUUUUAUCAUCAGAAAAAAGAAAGUGAAGGAACUCACCUGCGUUCCGAGGCCUUCGAGUCCUCGCUGGUUUCGCCACCAUCGAAACACAGUGGUGAUCUGGGAAUGGUAAGCAAGACCUACGAAUCUCUUUGGUUCCACGAAGCCUUGAUCGACCGUUCUAGAGGUUGAAAGGAGGGGCAGAGGAACGGACGUGGGUAACCAUCGGUCAGCCGAAUGUUGGAGGGAGGAGUUUUGACCCUUUUCUUUUUGUUUUCUUCAAAAUAAGCGGCUGAGCAUUUUCCUAGGCUAGUUUAGGCUCUUAUGUGGGGGUAUUGGGUGAAGACGUUUGGGCCAAUGUCAAUGGUCUUAAAACAACACCCUUUGGAGCAACCCUAUACCCAAUAAUCUGGCCCAUACACACUCAAGGUCUGCAUAUCUGGUCGUGGAUGGGGUAUUUCCAACACAGUCCUCCUCCCUUCGUGCUAUUUUCAAAUCAGCCCAUGCUCUUACCUUGUUUGUUUUAAUUUGCCCCUGUAACUUGCAUCCGUUUGCAAUCUGACCCACUCCUAAACACAACGUUUUGGGGAUCUGGUAUUUUGCCAGCUUUAGUCCCUAGAUGUUUUUGUGCGUUGGGUGUUGGUCUUCUUAUUAUUAUUGUCUUAUUUUCUACUUACCUCAUGUAUUCUAGUUUAAUUUUAAUCGAGUCCUUUUAUUUUAUCUCCUUUUUAUUUUAUUUUAUUUUAUUUUAUUUUUACAUUUUUAAUUAAUCUUGGUAAUUACUUCUCCGUUCUCGUAAAUUCUUUUUUUGUGUAAUAUUAUUAUCAUGUUUCGCACUCUUUAAAUAUUUAUUUCCUUUAUACUAUUAUACAUACACAUAUGUUAUAACAAAGUUAAUGUAUUUGCAUGUAUGUAAUGAUGCUUGACUCUAUUCAUGUAUUUUGGUGUAUAUUUUUUUUACUAUUUUAACACGUUUUGUACAUAUAUUUUGCGUAAAGUUUAAAUUAUUUUUAUACUCAUUUAUAUUAGUACACAUAUUCUAUAUAUUUCUAAAUCUAUACGUUUAUAUAUACACUCUCUUUACACAAAAGCAUGUUUUUUUAUCUAUUGUUAAUUUAUUAUAAAAUUAAUUUAGCUCUAUGAAUAUUAUCUCUUUUAUGUAGUUUUACAUGUAAUUAUUUUCAAAAGUUAUAUAUACAUACAUAUAUAUAUUGAUAUCAUUACUUUAAUAGGUUUUCCUACUUACAACUUUUUUGCUAUAUGAGUUAUCAAGUAUUUUCUUUAUGCAUGUAUAUGGAAGAAUUUUAGAAACUUUUUUUGUAAUUAUUAUUUUUGGAUGUUCCUUUGUAUUAAACCACUUUGUGUUUUAUAUAGUCCCUUAUUUAAACGUUUUGAUAUAAACGCAUGUAUAUACUUUUUAGACUAAGUUAAAGUUUUUUAUUAAUCUAAUGAUUAUUUUUAUAGCUAUCUAUAUAUACAUACGUUUUAUGAACAUACUUUGUGUACUAUAUUUUGCCAUAUGUCUUCAUUAUUCCUUUUUAUAUUAGACAUAUUAUUCAAGAUCGUCAUGUAGUUUGUCAACUUUAAAAUACGUUUGUGUUUUUAAAAAAUUUUUACAUGCAAUUCGAUUCAAACUUUUAUUCUAUAAUAUCUAUUCCAAAAAUCAUAUAGCUAUCCUUAGUUUUUGUGCAAGUUUGUCAACCUAUAUAUAUGGGUCCAUUUAUUCGUUAUUAAUUCAAAACCGUUUUAUAGCACAUUGGCUUCUAAUUGUUAUGUUGUUUUUAUAUCUUGCAUUGGUUAUCCUAUAUCACGCUAUGUACAUUAUCGUGGCAUAUUAUUGCAUGUAUUGUUUUGCUUGUGUGAUUGUUAUCAUUUUCGUCAUUGUAUUAAUCAUUUUAUUCCCCAUGCAUUAUUGUAAUUGUAUUACUUUUUAGAUUAGUCCAGCUUAAUUAUUAGCUUAUUAGUGGACCAUGUCUCGUACACACCCUUUAUCCUAUAUCAUCAUUUCUCACUUAGUUUGCGAAAUAUGGUUCUUUUUAUAAAAUUCAAACUUCUUACGAUUAACGUCAUCUUAUUUCAAAUCGAAUUAAUAUGUUUUUAAGUAUUCAUCCAAAAGUUCUUCAAAACGAAGACGAGAUUCGAUGUUUGGCAAUUCACGGAAUCGUGCCCUAACGUGUUGGGUUGCAAUUUCGCGUUUGCUCAAAAUAAUAGAAUAUCACUUCGAAAUUUCACUCGCGUCUUUUAAAAUUCUUCAAAACGAAGACAAGAUUCGAUAUUUAGCAAUUCGCGGAAUCAUGCCCUAACGUGUUAGGUUGCAAUUUCGUGUUUGCUCAAAAUAAUCGAGUAUCCCUUCAAAAUUUCAUUCAUAUCUUCUAAAAAUUAUUUAAAACGAAGGCAAUAUUUGGCGUUUGACAAUUCAAAAAUCAUGCCCUAUCGUGCUGGGUUGUGAUUUCUCGUUUGCUCAAAACGAUCGAACAUUCCUUUAUAUUUUCAUUCAUGUUUAUAAAAAAUUUACUUAACAACGAAGACGAUGUUCAAUGUUUGGUGAUUUGAGAAUCGUGCCCUAUCAUGCUGGGUUGCGCUUUUUCAUUGGUUCGAAACAAUUGAACAUCCUUACAGAAUUUCACUCGCAUUUUCUAAAAUCCUUCAAAAUGAAGGCGAUGUUCAAUGUUUGGCGAUUUGAGAAUCAAGCCCCAUCGUGCUGGGUUGUGCUUUUUCAUUUGCCCAAAAUAAUCGAUUAUCUCCUCGAAAUUUUCACACGUAUUUUAUAAAGUAAGGCAAUGGUCAAUAUUUGGAAAUUCGAAGAAUUGUACCCUACUGUGCUGGGUUUCGAGUUUUCGUUGGAUUAAAUAGUUGAGCAUCCUUCUGUAAUUCUCAAAUUAUAUACUUUCGAACAUCGAAACAAGAAAUUUUGGCAACCAACUCGGAUUACUCAAACGUUAUAAAAGGAACCCCAUUUCAAAAAAACUUUUAAUUUAGACAUAAGGACAGUAUUUAAUCGAUUUGAUACCAAUUUUGGGCGUAGUGAGGGUGCUAAUCCUUCCUCAUGCGUAACCGACUCCCGAACCCUUUUUCUCAAAAGUUCGUAGACCAAAAUCGCUGUUUUAAUAAACCAAAAAUGUUUUAUUGAACUAACCUCAUUCUUAGGUGAUCCGGUCACACCAAAAAGAUCAGUGGCGACUCCAUAUUUCUAUUUUCCAAAAAGUCGAUUUCCCUCCUUUUUUUCUAAUUUAAUUUUUUUUAAAUCGAGGGAUGGUUUCGACAGCUUGGUGACUCCGCUGGGGAGUGAACUUGAGUCCAGCCAUAAAAAUCGAUUAUUUGCUGUCCUUUUGUCAAAAAUUAAAAAUCUGUUUUAGAAAUCAUGUAUCUUUCGAUUGCAUUUGAUUGUAUGUUUGUUUUGGUGCGGGUAUUGUAGAAUAGCACUGCAUUUUAUUGCAUGACUACUGUGGUCACACCUUCUAAGUGGGAGUAAGAAGCUACGCUUUCGUGAGGUUUUCACCUCCGCAUGGGCUAGUGGAUUGCUGCCGGGGUACAUCCGUACCUAUGAUUUCGUGAGAUUUUCAUCUUCCCAUGGUCAUAGGGAAAUGUAUCCCCCUGAACCAAACUUGAUCUAUAUGAGCCUAUAAUGGGUGAGGAUUGAGGAAUCUACUGGUUCGGGUACCUCUUUUCCUAGAACUAAACCACAUAUAGUGAACCUUAGGAGCUAUCCUUGGGUGAAGCUGCGUCGAGCCUUAGUACUUACCCGUAUAUGCGUUAUAAUUAUCGUUUAUGUGCUUGCACUCUAUUUUUAUUAUUUGAUACUAACCGGUGUUUUAUUUUGAUUGUCUUUUUGCAUGACAUUGCAUACUAAAGGAGGCGUUAAUCCAUAUUCAAUUACUAAGUUAGAAAAUUUGACAUGGGGAAUGAAUUUUUUAAUAAAGUCGAGGAUAAUGCGGCCGUUCGUGCAUGGUCAGAGAGGCUACAAUCUGAGAGAAGGGAUAGCUUGGCAGAAGGGCAUGUGUCGGAGCUGCAGGAUUUCACUCGCGUCAAUGUAGUACAGAAUGAGCUGCAAGAGUUGAGAGACAUUUGGGCUAGUUGGGAUGAAAGGAUCAAGCAGUUGUUUUACCAAAGCUAUGGUGACAUAUCCUACCUGCUAGAUAUUAGAGUGGAUAAGCAUUUGUUCCAAGCCUUGGUACAGUUUUGGAAUUCUGCGUACAAGUGUUUCACUUUUGGAGAAGUGGAUUUGGUACCUACCAUAGAGGAAUACACUAUGCUGCUUAGAUGUCCAAAUAUUUAGGUCCGGAAGACUUAUGCCCGGGUUUUUAGUAAUCAAGCUUUCGCGAAGAAACUGAUGAGCAUUUCUGGGAUGAGCGAGCCUUGGGUCACUGCUCAGAUUCAACAAAAAGGAGAUAGCAAAUGUGUCCCUUGGGAGAAUUUGCGAGAUUUGAUCUUGACUCAUCCAGAAGAAAGAAAGAGGGUCGAUAUAUUUACCUUAAGCAUCUACGGAUUAGUGAUCUUUCCUAAGACUUUGAAGCAUGUGGACAAGGUGGUCAUUGACUUGUUUGAUCGUCUUGAAAAGGGAAUCACACCGGUACCAGCAAAUUUGGUAGAAACGUUCAGAUCUUUGAGCUCAUGUCGGAAGACGGGCUAGGGGCGAUUUAUUGAAUGUGCUCAACUAUUGAUGGUAUGGUUUCAUGGGCACUUUUGGAAGGUAGACAAGGUUUCCUAUCGAGUCUUUUCUGAAGGUUAUUCCCCUUUGAAAGAAAAGACAGCUAUACAGAGGAGAGAGGAUAUCUCAGAGGAGAAGUGGAUGGAUAUUUUUCAGAACCUCAAGGAGGAGGAUAUCAAGUGGAGAGCUUAUUGGAUGGUUCCUGAUGGGAUCAUGUACCGAUAUGGUAACUUUGAUUGGGUGCCAUUGUUAAGAAUCUGGGGAGCUAUCGGGUAUACUCCGUUGAUAGCCUUGAGGCAAUACAAGUCGAGAUAGUUUGUACCCACGACCUAUGGACUUGCUCAGAGUGAAUUCUCGUUUAAAGGUUCUCACUAUAAGAAGAGAGUUCGGGAGUUAUCGGAUGCUUGGAAGCAAACUUGUUGGAUGAAGAGGUUAGCUGUCGGUUCUAUGGUAACGCCCGAGUACAGCGAGUGGUUUAAGAAGAGGAUUAAUGACAAUAUUCCUAAGCCAAGCUUGGAGAGUGCUCGACCUGUCGGGGAACAAUUACAAGUCGCCCCAUCAGAAUUGGAGAUUAUAAGAUAAGAUUUCGAGAAGAAGAGUUUGGAGCUUGGGAAGAAGAUCGAACAAUUGGAGGAAGAAAAGAUGCACCUAAGAUUAGAGGCUGAUGUCCAGAGGUCAGAGGCUGAGAAGUGGAGAAAGGAAAAAACUAAGGCUGAAGAAGAUCUAGACAGUUUGAAAAUGGACUACAAGAAGUUACGCCUAUCUAUGAAGACUGCGGGUUUAGGUAAGACUUCUGAACAAUGGCGCCAUGAAAUUCGAGAAGAAAAGGCCAAUACUGACUGGUGGGAAAGGAAAUUCCAAGAAGCUCAGGCACGAAACGAAGAUUUGGAGAAAAGUCUAUUGGAAAACAGAAAAUAAGCGAAGGGAAUUAAGGGCUAGAGUGGCAGAACUUGAGAAGUCUCUACAUCAGUACUGAAACCGCAACACCGCAUUAGAAUUGAGGGUGAGCUUGAGCAAGAUAGAAGAAAUGAAAGGAAGAAUAGAAGAGUUAGAGGCGUCUCUGCAAAAUUGUGAGAUGCAGAUCCAGUUUUUCGAGGCAAAUGAGGAUCGUUGGAAGGAGUAGCUUCACCAUGCGCAAGACCAAGUCAGAAACAGAGAUUACCUUAUAGGGGAGGCCAUAACCCAAAUUCGGAAAGUAGCGGACUACUUGCAAACUUUAGCUGUUCAGGCGGACACACUGAGCAUGAAAUAUGAGUUAGAGUCGGAGCGCGGACAAGAGUUGGCCUCAUUGCUUAGAAAAAUUAGGACUUUGAGCGUUAGAGCGAAAUUCUAUUUGUAACUUAACUUUAUGUAAAAGAUUUUAUUUUCAAGUAAAAUUUUCUAAGGGCAAUUAAAUCAAAAAUUGAUACCUCCUUUGCAUUCAUGCAUUUGUAUUACAUCAUAUCAUUAUGUAUUAAGGGCCAUAAGAGUUUUCUAAUUAAUUAAUUAAAAAUUAUUUCAGUAACCUGGAAACCAACGAAAACCAACCAACCACACACCCCUACGGUACAAGGAAAAAAUCAAUUGAUAAGAGACUCGAGAAAUUAGAGCAAAUGCAAAAAGACAUGCAAGAACAAAUGCAGUCUCAGAUGCAAGAGCAGCUAGCCAAGAUUCAGCGAGAGAUGAAAGAGCAAAUGAUGGAGUCCCAGAGGGAAAUGAUGAGUCAGUUAUCCCAAUUGCUGUUGGGAGGAACGAAUAAGGGAAAGGGCCCCAUGGACAAAGUUGAAGAAGCUAAUGAGGAUCCUCAAUACCCCCUGGCUUCACUCCGACACAUGUACCAGUGAAGCCCGAGAUUAAUCUACCAAAACCAUCUGUCACGAUCAUGCCCCAACAGGUUCAGGCCAGAGCUUUAAUACCGAUGAAUUUCUAAACCGACUCAGGCUCUAACUUUGUCAACAACCCGAACUAUCUGCCCGUUCCCGACCUAGAUGAAAUUGUUGAAGAAGAAAAAGCGAGGAUGGAUUCGCAAAAACAAUUGAAAGAACGGUGUAGAUGGCUUGAGGAGAAAUUCAAAGCCAUGAAGAGCGCGGAUCAUCAUCAAGGGAUUGACGCCAAAGACCUGAGUCUAGUCCCAGACUUAGUCCUUCCCCCUAAAUUUAAAAUGCCCGAAUUCGAGAAAUACAAUGGAACGAGCUAUCCUGAAGCCCACAUCACUAUGUUCUGCAGGUGAAUGACGGGAUAUGUUAACAAUGACCAGCUAUUAAUCCACUGUUUUCAAGAUAGUCUGGUCGGGGCGGCGUCUAAGUGGUACAACCAAUUAAGCCGAGCUAAAAUUAAUUCAUAGAAGGACCUGGCUCAGGCUUUUAUGAAGCAAUACAAUCACGUGGCGGACAUGACCCCUGAUAGAAUCACUCUCCAGAAUAUGGAGAAAAAGUCAAAUGAAAGCUUCAGGCAGUACGCACAAAGAUGGAGGGAGGUGGCCAUAGAAGUUCAGCCUUCACUUUUAAAAAAGGAGACAACGAUGCUCUUUAUAAAUACCUUGAAGGCUCCUUUUAUCACUCAUAUGUUGGGAAGCGCCACCAAGAGCUUCUCUGACAUAGUGAUGACGGGAGAAAUGAUCAAAAAUACUGUAAGAAGCGGCAAGAUAGAAUCGGAAGCAAGUGCUAGGAAGUCAGCCCCGAGGAAAAUAGACAAUGAAGUGAACAACACGAGUACAUUCAAUAAGGGGCAGCCCAAGUUAAUUACCGUAAAUCAACCCAAAACGGUGACUACCAAUCAACAAAGCUCUGUAAGGCAAGAAUCCAAUGCGAGGAAGAACACAGAAAGGCCACAAUACACCCCUAUACCCAUGACGUAUAGGGAGUUGUACCAGAACCUGUUCAACGCUCAUGUGGUCUCCCCUUUCUACCUGGAGCCACUGCAGCCCCCGUAUCCUAAAUGGUAUGAUACAAACGCCCAAUGUGAAUACCACGCAGGAAUUACCGGGCACUCAAUCAAAAAUUGUACUGCGUUCAAGAAAGUGGUCGAAAGACUCAUUAAGAUGGGAAUCGUGAGAUUUGAUGACCCAGCCACGCCCAAUGUAGCAGGAAACCCACUCCCCAAUCAUACCGACCAAGGAGUGAAUGGGAUAAGUGAAGGCUUGAACAGCCAAGUAUGAGGUGGCAGAAAUCAGGACCCCGUUGAGGCGGGUAUGGAAAGAGAUGGCCAAGAGAGGAUUGAUAGCAUUGGAUCCAAGGGAAGAACCCGAAGAAGAGAGAAACUACUGUGAGUUUCAUGACGAGGUGGGGCAUGAAACCCAAGAAUGUGUGGAAUUCAGGGCCCUCGUGCAGAACAUGAUAGAUAAUAAAGAAAUGGAAUUCUACGAAGAAGCUAAAAGCCCCAUAGAGGGAAAUGUAUGCGCAUCCGAGGGAGAAUCAAAGGCACAGAAUCAAACACCUAAUUAUCCCGUGGUGAUUAUUUUGAGACCCAAAAAUAAUAAAGCUGGAGUACAAAUGCCACCGAGGAUUAUAAUCCAAAAACCUGCAGUUUUCCCUUACAAAGACAACAAAAAGGUCUCAUGGAAUUAUGAUUGCAGUGUGACGAUGCCGGGAAAAGAGAGCCUGGUUGGCGCUUCAAGAGGGGAUCAAGAUAGAGGUUCCUAUACACGUAGCGAGAGGCGUUACAAUACGGUGAAUAAGGAGGAACAACCCACAAAAGGAAAAGCCCAGGUGGUCGAAGAAAUGAAGGGAAAAGUAACCAAACUUGUUAAUGAGCUAGUUAACGAAGAGGAGACCAAGGAGUUUUUAAAGUUCCUAAAGCAUAGCGAAUACAGUGUGGUGGAAUAGCUACGUAAACAACCAGCCCGCAUUUCAGUGCUGGCCUUGCUUCUGAGCUCAGAAGUCCAUCGUAGCGCGCUAAUGAAGGUCUUGAAUGAAACGUAUGUUGCCAAUGAUAUUUCCGUUAACAAGUUAGACUGCUUGGUUAACAACAUCAGUACCGAUAACUAUAUCUUCUUUAAUGACGAUGAGAUAUCUCCCGGGGGCAUGGGGUCAACUAAAGCUCUGUAUACCACCACACGCUAUAAAGGGUAUACGUUGCCAGGCGUACUGAUUGACAAUGGAUCGGCUCCUGCCGUUGACCACGCUAAACAGAUUACCUAUAGACAGCUCUCACAUGAAAGAGUGCCAGAGCAUCGUGAAGGCAUUCGAUGGCACGGAGAGAAAGGUGAUGGGCAGAAUCGAUGUACCUCUUUAGAUUGGGCCAAAUACAUAUGAGGUGGAUUUCCUCGUAAUGGACAUCAAGCCCUCAUACAAUUGCUUGUUGGGGAGGCCCUGGAUACAUUCAGCUGGGGCAGUGCCUUCCUCGUUGCAUCAAAAGUUGAAGCUAGUAUCGGAGGGGAGGUUGAUAACGAUCAAGGCUGAAGAAGAUAUUAUUGCAACUGUGAGCAAUAAUGCACCCUAUUUGGAGACAGAUGACGAAGCAAUCGAAUGCUCAUUUCGAUCUUUGGAAUUUGUUAACGCGACGUUCAUCGCCGAGGAAAGCAAAAUUCUGGUGCCAAAAUUGUCCAAAACCACGAGGAUGAGCCUCCAGUUGACGAUUGUAAAAGGGGCCCUACCCGGAAGGGGACUUGAGAGACACCUACAAGGAAGGAUCGAAACGCCAAUGCUGAAAGAAAAGAGAGACCGCUUCAGCUUAAGAUUUAAGCCGGAUGUGAAACAAAGGAGAAGGGAGUUGGAAAAGAAGUAAGAAAGAAGGAGAGCUCGAUUAACGGGGGAGGAAAUCAAGUGAGAACAAUGAUAUUCCCCUAUAUAUCGAACACAUUUGUGUUUGGGGGAAUCAUUCAUCCCGAGAGAGACACGCUAAUGACGGGAGCUAUAGAAGAAAGGCUGGAAAGCUUGGACGUCAACGUCAUGUAUGAAGAGGAGACUGGAAGAGAAAGUUUAUUGGACAUUGGCCCCUACACACCUGGAAGUGUUCUGGACAACUGGACUACGGAAGAGAUCCCUGUAGUUUUUAGAACGAAUUCAGAGUAAUGUCUAAAACACACUUAUUGUUCUAGGCCUAGGAGUGAAAAGGAUCUUUUGUGAAAUAGGCUGAUGUUUAAAAACGUUCCUUCAAUAAAAUGCACGGUUAUUAUCAUUUUUGAGCAAAUGUUAUCUCGUCCUUUCAAUUCCAUUCAUAACCAUACAAAUGAUUACUUUCGAAUUCUUUUAUUCUUGAAACAUUCUUCUAAAUAUUCUUUCAUUCGUCAUUCAUAAUCAUAUCAUGCAAACAAAUGUUUUGAAUUCUUUUGAUUCUUUGUAUCUGCCUUCGUCCUCACAACAGGUCCCCAGAUAUUAAUGAUACGAGUGACGCUGCUAGCGACUCAGAAUUUCCUUUCAAGCAAGAUGUGUGUAUGGAGGGUUCUCGGGAUUUUGAAGAUGACCAAGGCUAUAACCUAUCUCCUAAUUUGUUGAGGAUGGUAGAACAAGAGGAGAAACAAAUCCUACCUCACAAAGAAUCAGUUGAAAUUGUGAGCUUAGGAGAAGGACAAGAGGUGAAGAUCGGAACAUGUAUCAUUGCGGAAAUGAAGCGAGACCUCAUUGAAUUGCUUCAAGAAUUUAAAGAUGUCUUCGCAUAGUCAUACCAAGAUAUGCCCGGGUUGGAUACUGACAUCGUGGUGCACCGACUCCCCAUAAAAAAAAUGUAAGCCAGUUCAGCAAAAACUCCGAAGAAUGAGGCCCGAUGUCUUGCUAAAAAUAAAGGAAGAGGUUUGAAAGCAGUUUGACGCUGGAUUUCUGAAGGUGGUAAAAUACUCAGAUUGGGUAGCCAACAUCGUCCCUGUCCCUAAGAAAGAUGGAAAAGUGCGAAUGUGUGUAGAUUACAGAUAUUUGAAUAAAGCCAGCCCAAAAGACAAUUUCCCACUACCUUAUAUCGACGCCUUAGUGGACAACACAGCGGGACAUUCACUGUUUUUAUUCAUGGACGGUUUUUUGGGAUACAACCAGAUCAAGAUGCAUAUUGAAGAUAUGGAGAAAACCACGUUUGUAACCAUGUGGGGCACGUUCUGUUACAAGGUGAUGCCGUUUGGACUGAAGAAUGCGGGGGCAACUUAUCAAAGAGCCAUAGUAACCCUUUUUCACAACAUGAUGCAUAAAGAGAUCGAGGUUUAUAUCGAUGACAUGAUCGCAAAGUCUCGAACAGAGAAGGAGCACAUUCAAGUCCUGAGGAAAUUGUUCUUGAGGUUGAGGAAGUUCCAGCUAAAACUCAACCCAGCCAAAUGUACCUUCGGAGCUAAGUCUGGAAAGUUGCUUGGAUUCGUGGUUAGUGAGAAAGGGAUUGAGAUCGAUCCAGACAAAGUUAAAGCCAUACAAGAGUUAUCCCCGCUGCGCACUCAAAAAGAAGUUCGAGGCUUUCUAGGAAGAUUAAAUUACAUUACUCGGUUCAUUUCACAACUGACUGAGAAAUGUAACUCUGUCUUUCGCCUUUUCAAGAAACAUAACCCAAGUGAAUGGGAUGAAGAAUGCCAAAGGGUUUUCGACAAGGUAAAACAGUACUUAUCCAAUGCCCCGGUGCUGAUGCCACCUAACCUUGAUAAGCUGUUGAUACUGUAUUUGGCAGUAUUCCAAAACUCAUGGGAUGCAUAUUGGGUCAGCAUGAGGAGUCAGGAAGGAAAGAGAAAGCCAUUUACUAUCUUAGUAAAGAGUUUAUAGAAUGUGAGGCAAGGUAUCCGCCGAUAGAGAAGUUGUGUUGUGCCCUAAUUUGGACAACCCGAAGACUGAGGCGGUAUAUGUUGUAUCACACCACUUGGCUCAUAUCAAAGUUGGACCCUUUAAAGUACAUGAUGGAGUCAACAGCCUUGAAUGGAAGGAUGGCCCGAUAGCAGAUUCUGCUUUCUGAAUUCGACAUAGUCUAUGUGAACCAGAAAGCAAUAAAAGGAAGUGCAAUAGCAGACUUUCUAGCCAGUAGAGCUUUGGAAGACUGCGAGCCUUUGAACUUCGACUUCUCGAAUGAAGACCUAAUGUGUGUUGCUACCACUAAAGAAGGUGCUCUGGAAGAACUUCCUUAGAAAUUGAACUUCAAUGGGGUAUCAAAUGCUGUGGGCAAUGGAGUCGGGGCCGUCUUGGUAUCCCCAAAUGGAGAUCAUUAUCCAUUCACUAGUAAAUUGGAUUUUGAUUGUACGAAUAAUAUGGCGGAAUACGAAGCGUGCAUCAUAGGUAUCCGCGCAGUCAUAGAACGCAAGAUUAAAGUGCUAGAGGUGUAUGGGGAUUCUGCGCUAGUGAUUUAUCAACUCAAAGGAGAAUGGGAGACCAGAGACCCCAAGUUAAUCGAUUAUCGGAAGCUGGUCCUGGAAUUGGUUAAAGAGUUUGAUGGCAUUACCUUUCACUACCUUCUACGAGACGAAAAUCAGAUGGCUGACGCUUUGGCUACCUUAGCCUCCAUGAUCAAGGUGAACAAACAAGAAGAUUUCAAACCCAUCCGAAUAAGCAUUUAUGAAAUUCCGUCCCACUGUUACAAUAUUGAAGAAAAUAAAGAGAAAGAUGAUCACCCUUGGUAUCAGGAUAUAUUGCAAUACGUGAAGAAUCGUGAGUACUCGGACCAGGCGAGCGAGAAUGACAAAAAAACAUUAAGAAGAUUGGCCUUCGACUAUGUCUUAGAUGGAGAUAUCCUAUACAAAAGAAGAAAGGAUCAAGUGCUACUAAGAUGUGUAGACACUGUAGAGGCUAAGAAAAUCUUGGAAAAAAUCCAUGAAGGUGUCUGUGGGACACACGCUAAUGGCUUUACAAUGGCCAGGCAAAUUAUGAGAUUCGGGAACUAUUGGUCCACCAUGGAAGGAGACUGUGUCAACUACGCUAAAAGAUGCUAUAAGUGCCAAAUCUACGGAGACAAAAUUCAUGUGCCUCCUUCACCGCUACAUGUCAUGAUUUCUCUAUGGCCAUUCUCUAUGUGGGGCAUGGAUGUGAUUGGACCAAUAUCGCCGAAAGCUUCCAAUGGGUAUCGGUUCAUUUUUGUGGUUAUCGACUACUUCACCAAGUGGGUAGAAGUCGCUUCGUAUGCUAGUGUGACGAAGUCGGCAGUGAGCAAGUUUCUGAAAAAGGAGAUUAUAUGUCGAUAUGGAAUGCCGGGGAGGAUCAUAUCUGACAAUGCAUUAAACUUGAACAACAGUACGAUAGCGGAGGUCUGUAGUCAAUUUAAGAUCAGACAUCACAACUCGUCACCAUAUCGCCCGAAAAUGAAUGGGGCAGUGGAAGCGGCCAAUAAAAAUAUUAAGAAGAUUGUAGGAAAGAUGACCGAAACCUACAGAGAUUGGCAUGAGAAAUUACCGUUUGCCCUAUUUGUUUAUCGAACGUCAGUUAGAACCUCAACCGGGGUAACCCCUUUCUCCCUGGUCUACGAAAAUCGAAGUCGAUAUCCCGUCUCUUCGAGUGUUGUCGGAGUUAAAGUUAGAAGAAGCCGAGUGGAUCCAGUCUUGAUUUGAUCCAUUGAACCUAAUUGAGGAAAAGAGGUUAAGAGCGAUCCGUCACGGUCAGAUGUACCAAAAGCGAAUGAUUCGGGCUUAUGACAAAAAGGUUCGCCCUAGAGAAUUCCACGAAGGAAACUUGGUUUUGAAAAAGAUCCUUCCCAUACAGAAGGACUUUCGAGGGAAAUGGAUGCCUAAUUGGGAAGGGCCUUACGUGGUGAAGAAAUCUUUCUCUGGAGGAGCAUUGAUUCUAGCCAAGAUGGACGAUAGAAACUUGCCCAAUCCUGUGAACUCAGAUUCGAUCAAGAAGUAUUUUACCUGAAGAAUUAGAGGCCAGAGCGAAAACCCGUAAAAGGCACUCUGAAAUAAAAAAAACGGAGAGGCCAAGGUGAAAACCCGCAAAGGGCACUUUGGAACCAAAUGGGCUUUUGAGUUGAAAACCCGAAAACAGGCAGCUCAAAUUUUGAAUUGGGCCAUAUGGUAAUCUUGUCCUUCUAAAAUCAACAAGACAGAAGAACAGUACACCUUUGAGCAUCAACAAAAUGCGCAGGAUCUCUUGAAUACACAUUUGGUUCAAAGGAGCCUUUGAGAAAUUAGAAUAGUAAAACUCGUGCUGCGAUAUCUGAGGCACAUUUUCUCAUUUUUUGCACCUUAUCAGAUUCGUAUUCCUAUGUAUUCACAUCAAAAUUUUGCUUAAUAAAAUUCCAUUUGUCCAUUAUGAUAAUCUCUUUCGAGUAUUUUUGUUGAAAUCACGAUUUUUGAACAUGUAAUAUCUACACACAAGAUGUUAUGCAUAUUACACUGGAAAAGUCUCUAAAUAGUACAAAGACCUGAAAUAGGGUCACUAGUCAGAACUAACCAGGUUCAAAGUUGGAAAACAUUGGAAAAACAGUAGUCCCAAAUUAGGAUUAUUUCUUCAAAUUUUCUGUCAAAGAUAACGGCUAAGCAAGAAGACGCGAUAGCACAUCAAAGAUAGAACCCGAAUGAAUCAUGAGCAAUGAUACCUUAAGCGUUUAAAGAGGAAUUAUUCUCAUAACACUUCUACAUUCAUAAUCAUUCAUUUAGUUAGGAGCACUUGAUUCAUCUCGAUCCUAGCAUCCUAAUUACUUGAUACAGGAAACCAAUUCUACAAAUCAUGUCUUUAGAAGACGGUGUAGUGACAUUGGCGAAUCCUACAGAUCCUGCUUCCCUGAAGUUGCAGUAGAGCAGAUCAAAGACGACGAAUCUUGACUUCCUGAAGUUGCAGUGAAGCAAAUUUAAGUCACUAACCUAGCUCCCUAAAGUUGUAGUGGAGUAGGUUGAAAUUUUAGAUCUCGUUUCCCUGAAGUUGCAGUGGAGCAGAUCAAAGACGAUGAAUCUUGACUUCCUGAAGUUGCAGUGAAGCAGAUUUAAGUCACUAACCUAGCUCCCUAAAGUUGUAGUAGAGUAGGCUAAAAUAUAGAUCUCGUUUCCCUGAAGUUGCAGUGGAACAGAUCAAAGACGACGAAUUUUAACUCCCGGAAGUUACAGUGAAGCAGAUUUAAGUCACUAACCUAGCUCUCUAAAGUUGUAGUGGAGUAGGCUGAAAUUUUAGGUCUCGUUUCCCUGAAGUUGCAGUGGAGCAGAUUGAAGACGGCGAAUCUAGACUUCCUGAAGUUGCAGUGAGGUAGAUUUAAGCCACUAACCUAGCUCUCUAAAGUUGUAGUGGAGUAAGCUGAGAAAUAUAGAUAUCGUUUCCCUGAAGUUGCAGUGGAGCAGAUCAAAGACGACGACUCUAGGCUUCCUGAAGUUGCAAUGAGGCAGAUUUAAGCCACUAACCUAGCUCCCUAAAGUUGUAGUGGUGUAGACUGAGAAAUAUAGAUUUUGUUUCUUUGAGAUUGCAGUGGAACAGAUCAAAGACGGUGAAUCUAGGCUUCCUGAUGUUACAGUGAAGCAGAUUUAGACUAUCGUCCUAGCUCCCUAAAGUUGUAGUGGAGUAGGCUGACGAUUGUAGAUCUCGUCUCCAGUGGAGCAGAUCGGAGAAAAUGAGCCUUAAACCCCUUAAGUAGUAGGGCAACAGGCUGAAGAUUGCAAGAUUUUGUCUCCCUGAAGUUGCAGUGGAGCAAAAUCAAAGUCACGAUCCUUAUCUCUCUGAAGUUGCAGUAGAGCAGGAUAAAAACACACGGACCAUGUCUCCCUGAAGUUGCAGUGGAGCAUAUUGAAGCUACUUGAAGAAAAGAAGCGUCAAUAAGUCGAGGCUCAGCAGGUCUCAGCAAAAUUGGCCUAUUUAUAGUCUUUGCUCUAUUCUCGUUACACGACAAUGAGCAAAGAGAGGCAGCUGUAGUGACCAAUUUUGGUCCGGGUCCGCUAAAAAAUCUCAAACCUAUAUAUAAAAUAAAUAAAUAAAUAAUAAAAAACCACAGUCCAAUUACAGAAACUAAUAGCCCAAACUAGCAACCCCAAACCAGUUACAUAACCCCAGCCCAACAACUAAACCUAACCCACACUUACAAGGCCCGAUAGGCCCAAAAAACUAAAAUUAGACAGAGCCCUAGCUGUCUGCUUGCGCCGCAGCAGUCCGAGCCCCCUAGCGCCUCCGUCCACGCCAACCCUGGCCUCCGUAUUGUCCAGCACAGCCUCCGUACGCCAACACAAUCCCGUACCCGAGCGCCACUGAUGUGAGCACACCCGGGGCAUCCUCGAAUGCACACCAAGGAUCUAUUGAGCUGCCAAAAGGUCCCAUGACCCGAGCUCGAACCAAGCAACUUCAAGAUGCUAUAUCAGCCUUUGUGAUGCGCAUUUGGGAUGAUAACCAGCUCUAUAACGUUGGAGGAGCUAAGAAUAACUCCUUGAAGACUCCAUGCACCAUUUUGCAAUCCGACCUCAGCUCCUCUUCAGCUCCCCAAUGCGCCAUUCAGUUCCCAUCAGCUCACUUGAGCUCGUUUUAGCUCGUUUGAGCUCGAAUUUAGCUUGUUUCAGCUCAUUCCUUUUUUAUUUCAAUAAAUUAAGUAUUAAUCUAGCUUAUAACUAAGUUUGUUACAGCUCAUGCCGAAUUCCCUAACUCAAUUUAGCUUACUAAGUGUUUUUAACUAUUUGAGCUUGCUGAAUUUAUUAUAAGUUGACUUAUAAUUAUUGUGUUCAAAUUUAGUUAGUGAUAUUAAGUUAUUUAGUUAUUAUUUUAAAUUAUAAUUAUAUGAAUAUUUGUGUGUUAUUUAAUUAUAUUAUUUAAUUUUUUAGGUUAGCCGAAUUUGGAAGAUACAUUCAUGGCAUUUAAUGCAAGGUGCAUGAACGAGAAAGUUCAUUGAACGGGAGGAUACAUGCAUGGACCGGUUCAAUGUUUGGAGGACAUACAUUCAUGUACAUAGAAGGUUAAUACAUAUUGAAAGGUGCAUCUCCCUUGGACGGCAUACAUGCAUGAAUGGGGGGUAAUCAAUGCAAGUGCAUGUACGGCUAGGUUCAAGGCCCCUUCCAAGUUCCAUGUACAACCGAUGCAUGUGGGAGGACCCUUGGAGUUUCCUAAGCACCUAUUCGGCCAAGAGGCACCCUUUGGGAGUUUCAUGCAUCCCAUGGCCGAACCUAGACAAUCCCAUUGGCUUCCAAAGCUUGCUCAUACAUGAAGCUGCCCAUUCAUCUCCCAUUCGGCCGAACAUGGACAAGGACACCAUUGGUCAUUUUUCUAGAAGGUUCAUGUCUUAAUUAGGUUCAUUACUUAAUCGUUAAGUUCAUGAAUGGACUAUUCGGUUAACAUAAGAAACUAGUAUAAAUAGUUUGUGGAUUUCAUUUGUAAAGGACUUUUGCCAAAAUUGUUAAUGAACAUUUGUUCUUGUGAGGUUGCUUCCUCUCAUAUCUCGUACAAGUUUCGAAAGACUUAUCUGGCAUAUGCUAGUGGCGUCAAUCGUCUUGUUUGAACUUAUCACCAAUCUUGGUGUGGCGUUCAUCUAUCCAUCUAUCCAUCUUUUCACCUUAACAAUAUAGGAACCGGGGUGACACUUCUUAGUGUUGAAUCAUUCCUGACGUUAAGUUCGUUUUCCAUUCCCAUCCUUCGAAUUAUUUUCUUGUUAUUCCAAACCGAGCCAUUUAACCAUCAUCCAUCUUUGCUACUAAAUCGAACCUAUUACUAAAUUCACCCUACUUUGAAACCUUUCGCUUACCCGUAUCUUUUCAUUCAUUUCUAGUUCUAAAACCCGAAGCACGAACGACUCUCUCGAACGACGAUCGAGCAACUAAGUGAAUUCGACUCAUCAUCCCGAGCUGGAUCACAUCAGCCACGCACCUGUACCUGUAAAGAAAUGGACAAAACGACAACAGACACAACAGCAAAUAGAAAGAAAAAAAACAUUAUAUUUUUUAUUAGCAUUUGGCUAUAAAGCCUACGGAUUCUGAUUGUAAAGGGGUUCCCCUUUUGAAAAUAUACAGAAAACAUAUGCAAUAGCAAAGCAAAAAGGCAAUAGACGAAAUAAGGUGAUUUUCCCUUCGUUUUUUUUAAACUCUCUGCUCUUCCUUUUUUUUAUCUACUCGAGUCCUUUGUUAUUUUAUCAUCAGAAAAAAGAAAGUGAAGGAACUCACCUGCGUUCCGAGGCCUUCGAGUCCUCGCUGGUUUCGCCACUAUCGAAACACAGUGGUGAUCUGGGAAUGGUAAGCAAGACCUACGAAUCUCUUUGGUUCCACGAAGCCUUGAUCGACCGUUCUAGAAGUUGAAAGGAGGGGCAGAGGAGCGGACGUGGGUAACCAUCGGUCAGCCGAAUGUUGGAGGGAGGAGUUUUGACCCUUUUCUUUUUGUUUUCUUCAAAAUAAGCGGCUGAGCAUUUUCCUAAGGCUAGUUUAGGCUCUUAUGGGGGGUAUUAGGUGAAGACGUUUGGGCCAAUGUCAAUGGUCUUAAAACAACACCCUUUGGAGCAACCCUAUACCCAAUAAUCUGGCCCAUACACACUCAAGGUCUGCAUAUCUGGUCGUGGAUGGGGUAUUUCCAACACAGACCUCCUCCUUUCGUGCCAUUUUCAAAUCAGCCCAUGCUCUUACCUUGUUUGUUUUAAUUUGCCCCUGUAACUUGCAUCCGUUUGCAAUCUGACCCACUCCUAAACACAACGUUUUGGGGAUCUGGUAUUUUGCCAGCUUUAGUCCCUAGAUGUUUUUGUGCGUUGGGUGUUGGUCUUCUUAUUAUUAUUGUCUUAUUUUCUACUUACCUCAUGUAUUCUAGUUUAAUUUUAAUCGAGUCCUUUUAUUUUAUCUCCUUUUUAUUUUAUUUUAUUUUAUUUUAUUUUUACAUUUUUAAUUAAUCUUGGUAAUUACUUCUCCGUUCUCGUAAAUUCUUUUUUUGUGUAAUAUUAUUAUCAUGUUUCGCACUCUUUAAAUAUUUAUUUCCUUUAUACUAUUAUACAUACACAUAUGUUAUAACAAAGUUAAUGUAUUUGCAUGUAUGUAAUGAUGCUUGACUCUAUUCAUGUAUUUUGGUGUAUAUUUUUUUUACUAUUUUAACACGUUUUGUACAUAUAUUUUGCGUAAAGUUUAAAUUAUUUUUAUACUCAUUUAUAUUAGUACACAUAUUCUAUAUAUUUCUAAAUCUAUACGUUUAUAUAUACACUCUCUUUACACAAAAGCAUGUUUUUUUAUCUAUUGUUAAUUUAUUAUAAAAUUAAUUUAGCUCUAUGAAUAUUAUCUCUUUUAUGUAGUUUUACAUGUAAUUAUUUUCAAAAGUUAUAUAUACAUACAUAUAUAUAUUGAUAUCAUUACUUUAAUAGGUUUUCCUACUUACAACUUUUUUGCUAUAUGAGUUAUCAAGUAUUUUCUUUAUGCAUGUAUAUGGAAGAAUUUUAGAAACUUUUUUUGUAAUUAUUAUUUUUGGAUGUUCCUUUGUAUUAAACCACUUUGUGUUUUAUAUAGUCCCUUAUUUAAACGUUUUGAUAUAAACGCAUGUAUAUACUUUUUAGACUAAGUUAAAGUUUUUUAUUAAUCUAAUGAUUAUUUUUAUAGCUAUCUAUAUAUACAUACGUUUUAUGAACAUACUUUGUGUACUAUAUUUUGCCAUAUGUCUUCAUUAUUCCUUUUUAUAUUAGACAUAUUAUUCAAGAUCGUCAUGUAGUUUGUCAACUUUAAAAUAUGUUUGUGUUUUUAAAAAAAAUUUACAUGCAAUUCGAUUCAAACUUUUAUUCUAUAAUAUCUAUUCCAAAAAUCAUAUAGCUAUCCCUAGUUUUCGUGCAAGUUUGUCAACCUAUAUAUAUGGGUCCAUUUAUUCGUUAUUAUUUCAAAACAGUUUUAUAGCACAUUGGCUUCUAAUUGUUAUGUUGUUUUUAUAUCUUGCAUUGGUUAUCCUAUAUCACGCUAUGUACAUUAUCGUGACAUAUUAUUGUAUGUAUUGUUUUGCUUGUGUGAUUGUUAUCAUUUUCGUCAUUGUAUUAAUCAUUUUAUUCCCCAUGCAUUAUUGUAAUUAUAUUACUUUUUAAAUUAGUCCCGCUUAAUUAUUAGUUUAUUAGUGGACCAUGUCUCGUACACACCCUUUAUCCUAUACCAUCAUUCCUCACUUAGUUUGCGAAAUAUGGUUCUUUUUAUAAAAUUCAAACUUUUUUACGAUUAACGUCAUCUUAUUUCAAAUCGAAUUAAUAUGUUUUUAAGUAUUCAUCCAAAAGUUCUUCAAAACGAAGACGAGAUUCGAUGUUUGGCAAUUCGUGAAAUCGUGCCCUAACGUGUUGGGUUGUAAUUUCGCGUUUGCUCAAAAUAAUCGAAUAUCACUUCGAAAUUUCACUCGCGUCUUUUAAAAUUCUUCAAAACGAAGACGAGAUUCAAUAUUUAGCAAUUCGCGGAAUCGUGCCCUAACGUGUUGGGUUGCAAUUUCACGUUUGCUCAAAAUAAUAGUAUCCCUUCAAAAUUUCAUUCAUAUCUUCUAAAAAUUAUUUAAAACAAAGGCAAUAUUUGGCGUUUGACAAUUCGAGAAUCAUGCCCUAUCGUGCUGGGUUGUGAUUUCUCGUUUGCUCAAAACGAUCGAACAUUCAUUUAUAUUUUCAUUCAUGUUUAUAAAAAAUUUACUUAACAACGAAGACGAUGUUCAAUGUUUGGCGAUUUGAGAAUCGUGCCCUAUCGUGCUGGGUUGCGCUUUUUCAUUGGUUCGAAACAAUUGAACAUCCCUACAGAAUUUCACUCACAUUUUUUAAAAUCCUUCAAAAUGAAGGCGAUGUUCGAUGUUUGGCGAUUUGAGAAUCAAGCCCUAUCGUGCUGAGUUGCGCUUUUUCAUUUGCCCAAAAUAAUCAAAUAUCUCCUCGAAAUUUUCACACGUAUUUUAUAAAGUAAGGCAAUGGUCAAUAUUUGGAAAUUCGAAGAAUCGUACCCUACUGUGCUGGGUUUCGAGUUUUCGUUAGACUAAAUAGUUGAGCAUCCUUCUGUAAUUCUCAAAUUAUAUACUUUCGGACAUUAAAACAAGAAAUUUUGGCAACCAACUCGGAUUACUCAAACGUUAUAAAAGGAACCACAUUUCAAAAAAACUUUUAAUUUAGACAUAAGGACAGUAUUUAAUCGAUUUGGUACCAAUUUUGGGCGUAGUGAGGGUGCUAAUCCUUCCUCAUGCGUAACCGACUCCCAAAUCCUUUUUCUCAAAAGUUCGUAGACCAAAAUCGCUGUAUUAAUAAACCAAAAAUGUUUUAUUGAACUAACCUCAUUCUUAGGUGAUCCGGUCACACCAAAAAGAUCGGUGACGACUCCAUAUUUCUAUUUUCCAAAAAGUCGAUUUCCCUCUUUUUUUUAAUUUAAAAUUUUUUUAAAUCGGGGGAUGGUUUCGACAGGCUAUUUUCUUUGCUCCUCUGUAAAUCAACAGUAAAGCUAUUAUCAGAUAACUUCGUCUGGACCGGACCAUGGAGACAUCUGCUGUGGAAUCUAAAAUAAUUUAGCAGUAAUAAAAUGACAAGAUGCGCAUCAAUUUGUAAGUAUGAAAAUCAAGUGCUCGCUUGCAUCAAAAUAUAUGCAAGAUCAAACUGAAGAAAUGAUGCACCCAGUAUUAAUAUAUGCAAAAUACAUUGAAUAUACCCAAUAAGCAGUUUCUCACAAACUAAACCAAUAAACAGCAAAGAAAAAGCAUAAGCAAUGUAUAAACCCGUGUUUAUUUAAUAACAUGAGACCUCAUAACCUUCUACAAAAACUGACUACUGGAACCAAGCUCAUAACCUCAUAACCUCAUAACAUGAGACCUCAUAACCUCAUAACUGCUCACAAGCUGUACCAUCUGGAACCAAGCUGACUACUGGAGAUGAUCAAAAUGACCUGUUAUUGGGUUUGGAUGAUGAAGAUGACUUGGCUUUGGCAAAAUCAACCAGGUCUUUGAAGAGAGCAUCUUCUGGUUUUUCUUGUUUGGUUGGGAUCGUUGAGUUAAGGGAAAGAUUUUGAGUUUGUCCAACCAAGCCAUCAUAGGAGGAACCUGAUCCGUUACUGGAGUUAGAAGAACCACCAGGAUAACCAUGUUGUUGUUCAAAGAACUGCUGUCUCUGAUUAAACUUCGAAGGCGGUGGUGGAAGGUUUCCUGCAGCAGUGUCCCAGGGUGCUGGAGGCAGCAACUCAGAAUCAGCAGAUUUGCUCAGGGAAGCCGGUUUGUCGUAUAUAGGCUGCCCACUGAGCAUCGGUGAGGAACCAGAGUCACCUGAAGGGUAAGGAGGUGAUGAUGUACGAGUGCGAACAGAAUGAGCUGCAGGUUCUCUUGUUUCAGGGGAAUUCUCAGAUUUGUAGGUAUCACCACUAAGGUAAUCAACCAUGCCGGAAUUUGUAGCAACCAGACUUUUUGACGGGGGUGGAGGAGGAAGAAAUGGAUCAACUCGCCCAGUCUCACUUUUAGGCGCUCUCCUGCCAUGUCCUUGAGAAUUAUCCCUUGAUGAUCUGUAAUAAGCGAAUACAGAGAUUCAUUAAAUUUAGAUCAAAAGCGAAAAUAGCAUAGGCAAGAAAUAAGUAGUCUUUAUGCAUGUUUAACAAGACGGGAUGCAUAGAGAGAAUAAGUAGACAACUGCUACACUUUCAUCCAUAAAAUCCAGCUAUAACUUCAAGCUUAAGUUCAAUUAUAUAAAUAAUGGGUUCCUCCAGUGGAAACAAAAAUCCCAAUGAAGAUCAGGGAAUGCAACACAUGGACACAAGUUGGUUAAUCGCCCAUGGUUCAUUUCCAUGUGCUAAGUAGAUAAAUUACAACUGGUAAAACUUAUUUGGGCCUUUCAUGGUUUCCAAGCGCAAGGCUAAUCUGGUGGACUAGAAAUAUUUAAGGCAAAACUAGCAGAAAAAUGUUUUAAAGCAAACAUAGAAGGGAGUGAGGAAGAAUAACACAAUGGAGUCACCUAUGAGAUAGCUGAGCAAAUUCAUCUUCCGACUCAUCAUCCUCAUGGUUAAUAUUAACAAAUGGCACAACAGGAGUCUCUGCUACUGCUCCAGUCGGAACAGUAUUUCCUUUCAGAAUGUCAUCAUGCCGGCAAAGAACACGUUGCAAGCUGUCAUUUAGUGCUAACCCCUGACACAAAAGUUCCUCAUCUCUGAAAAAGAAAAAUCAAUCAUCAGCAUCAUUCUAACAGGAGGAAAUCAAGUGAAGAUACAAGCAGAUUCUCACGUGGUAUUAUUAACAAGAAGCAUCACACGCUUUUGGUAAGAACGGCAUUGAUCAACAAGGUCAACAAUGACUUCUUGCUUCACAGCCUGUAUAACAUCAAAAACAGUGAAGAAGUAAUCAUUUGACUUGCAUCAGGCUAAAAAUAGUUAUUAAUUUAAUCACCUCGCAUGCAUUAGGAUUGUUCAGUUACAAACUAUAAUCAGAGAAGAAUAAGUAAUGAAGUUCAGAAACAGAAUGAUCCUACAGACAGACACAAAUAUCCAGUGUAAAAAAAGAGUGCAGAACAUAAAUUAAUCAGAUUUAUCUAAUAAUUUCAGUAAUAAACAAAGAGAACCCAUUUAAGAGUCUGCAGCAGAGGUGUUAUGCAUCAACUUAAAACCAAUUAAACCCAACUUGAAUCUAUAGGACCACAUGAAAAACCAAUACUCAAUAGAUGUGGUAUAACACCACUUACACUCCCAACACAUGUAGCUCAACAAGGUCUUACCAGUGGACAACCUCAAUGAAGGUCAUAAACCUCAAAUGGAGUUAGGCAACAAAACACACCUGGGCUCCAAUAAGAUGCUAAUCCGACCUAACACUAAUUGGCAGGCGAAAGGGUCUAACUUGAAUACAAGACCAUAUAAACCCUAUGCUUAAAUAGACCUUGGAUAACACCACCUAACAAGGGUGUUAGAUAACUUGGAUUCAAUUGAAAUUAAGGAAUUAUUCAUCAUAAUGGAAGGCAGAAAAAUAAUACGAAGAACCAAACAGGUACUGUUGCCACAGAUUUAAGAAAGCACAUUACACAAAGCGCAACAGAAAAAGAAGAUUAAUUAAGCUAAUCGCAUAUAAACAGAUUAAAGCAUUGCUUGGUAGAGUGGAAAGAAAAUUGUAAAGAUGGAAGAUUGAAGGGAUAGAAAAAUAGAAAACUGGAAAAUAUAAUUUAUCUUUCCGUUUGUGAGCUUCAUAAGAAAGAGGGAAAAAUUUGUUGGGGGGGGGGGGAAUCUUACUUUUUCUUUCUAUCUGGUGCUUGGUAGAGUUGAAAAUUGUAAGGAAAGAAACUAAAACAUUUGAAAAAUGCAUAAUUUUGAACUAACAUACACCUCUCUCUCAUUUUCUCUCCUUUCAUCAUUCAAAUUUGGAAGGAUUAGUUUUUCACUACCAAGCACACUCCAAAUACAUUUUCUUUGCACUUUUCCACUCCCUCCUCCCAUCCCUCCACUUUUCCACCCAACCAAGCACACCUUAACUUUUAGAAAAAUAACCUUCCCCUGUACUAAAAAAAAAAAAGGUGAAAGCAGUAUGUUUAUCAGCAAUCAAACAAGCAGAAAAUUAAAACACAUAGACCACAAUGACAAGCAUAAUGAUCCAUUUGAAGGGCAACAUUUUUACCUCAGGAGUCUUGGGAUCCAAUGCACUAAGCAUUUCCAUUAAUAUUUCUGCUAGUCCAGAAGCAUUUUGAAUCUCCGGCAAGCUGGAAAAACACGAGUUUCAACUUCAAUCUCUAGAGGCUAUGGUAACAGAAACAAUGCAGGUUUAUGCAGGAAGUUUACACGUCAGAAGCAAAGGUGGAAGAGAGAUGCAGCAUAGUAACUUUGCAGUGGUUUAUUAUGGUUUAACCAAGUGGAAAGAGAAAAUACAGCUUACACUUUAUGUCCUAAAAUUGGAAAUAUUAUCUUCGAAGCAAAGAUAAGCUGGUCACAACAAUCUAUCAGAAGUAAAACCUGAAGUGAUCUUUUUUAUCAUCGCAGUGAGUUAAAAUCUAGUAAAUUUUCUAACUUCCAAUUAUCUUGAACAAUUUACUUAACUAUUAAAGAAGAAAAUGGGUUUAAAGAAAGGUUUUCAGAAAAUGCCCUGCUUCAUUUUUAGGGUUAUUAAAGAAAAUAAAUUCAAACAUUUCAUUUAUACAUUAUUGUAGAUUUUAUAUAAAAAAUACAUAUACUGAAAUAUUCCAAGGAAAAUGCAAUAGAAAUUGUGAGAUAAUAAUGCAAAUUAUAAUGAUUAUUAUUUAGCAUAAUUUACAAUAUAUAUCUAACAUAAAAGUAAACAUGACAAUUUUGCAGACAGCCAAAACAAGUCUUCUUCUUUCAAUCUAAGGGACUAUUCAGUGAAGCAAUAGUUCCAAAAUCCUCAUCCUGUCAAACAUGUUUUAAGUCAAAGACAGCUAUCUAAUCCACAACCAGAACAUAACAGUUUUAGCACAUAUAAUACCUGAGGCCAGAAGCAUCAGACUGUAGAGAGGCCUCAAUAGCAGCAUCCUCAUAUGUAGAAGCAGGGUGGUGACUUACUGGGUGGGUCUGAGGUGGAGUAAAUAAUGGUACAGUAUUCUCUUCUCUAGGAGGAAAUUCAACUCCAGCAGCCUGAUAAAUACCAAAAAGAAAAAAGAAAAGUUUAAGAAAUUAUGGAGAGAUGUGUGUGUGAGUGUUAAGCAUAGCAGCCCCUGCAGUCACUAGAACCCUAGGCAAACAAACUUAUUUGGUUCAACUCUAGAGAAAAGAUAAUCUAGGGAAAAUGCAAGGUAAAGGAGAAAAGUACGAUCCUCCAGUCUUCCAUCACACACUAACAAAACUAAACAAUAAAAGCAGUCGUUUCUCUCAAAACAUAAUACAGAAGAAAUUAAAGUGAUGUAUUACACGGAUCAAAGUGCAGCGACCCUUGAACCUAAUGCAUUUAGGAAUAACAAGAACAUACUUGAUAAUAUUUAUGCUUGGAAAAUUAGAAGCUUAUGAAGGGCCAACAAAAGAAGGGAGAGGCACACAGAGGCAUGAGAAAACAUUUACCUGUAGUUCAUUAUAUGCGGCAAAAUAUUGAGGAUACCUUCCACUAGAUCCUCCAAGGGCUUCUUGCCAUGUGUCUAUCAAAAUAAGUAUUUUUUCCCUAACAUUCAAGUCAGGCUGCACAGUAAUCCAGAAGGAAGAAUACAAGUAUUAAAUACCAGAAAGGGGGAAAACUAACAAGAAAAAUCAGGUAUCAAAAGUCAGGUGAAGAUAACUCACCUUCUUCUUUACUAUUUUAACCAUUUCACGCAAGAUAUCGCGCUCAACAAUCUGCUGAAAAACAUGCUCGCCACAAUUUUUGCUGAGAGAAUCCAAUACCUGAACCAAGAUAUCAGAUAUAUUGUGUCUGUUACCUCCUUAUCAUCAUGCACCACUAAGAGAAGGGGGGAUAGUACCAAGUUAAUAGUCACUUGGAAACACAUGAUUAAAGUAAGUUAUCAAAAACUAACUUAUAAAUGUUAUUACACCAAUAGAGUAGAUUUCAAGUAAAAUAAUUAAAAGAGAUAUCUAUAUGUAUGACAUAUGAACAUGGGGAAACAUGUAACUCACAAAAAGAGCUAAUAGCUGUAUUUUUGGAUUUUUACUGCCCAGCCGCUUCUUGAUGAUUUUCAACGCAUCCUUAGCCUGCCUGCAAUAGAAAAAUAAAGAAUGUCAAUCAAAUACAUUAGGAUUCUGCCAUGCAUCAGGCAAUGUAAAUAAGAGGCUAGGGAGUUAUAACAAGGCAGCAAUGAACUACACCUAAGCACAGGACAACCAUGCAACUUUCAUAACAGAUGGUGCUCCGGUUCUAUCGAAACCUUGGAACACAAUAAUCAUACUUCAAACAAUUAAAUAGAUCUUUCUUCUUAUUCAAACAUUUUCAACUCUUAUUCAGACUUCAAAUCCUUCAAUGCUUUUCCUAAGAAAAGAGAUAAAUACAACCCCAGGAAACUACCCAGUUAUACAAAACACAUAUGAAAGACAUUGAAGCCAGAUAAAGCGAUCGCUAUAUGUUGUACAUAUACUGAUAUACUUAUGUACAUAUGUGUAUAUAUGUACAUAUAAUAGUAAAGGGGAGAGUAUCCAAGGAAAGAUCGAUAAGUUAAUAGAGACACAUAGACAUGUAUACCAAACAAUAUACUUCCAACAGAACUCAAGAAUAGCAAGUCUGUAGCAUAUGGCAUUCUACAAUAUAAUAUGGAGUCAAGUGUACAUUCUAACCGGGAUAUGUCUUCAUAUCUUGCUCACAGACAUUCCAAAAUUUUAACUUACACAGUCAAGCUAAAGGAAUCCAAGAGUAGAGUACAAGCAUGCAUGUGCCUUAAAAUUCCUCUUCUUCCUUUGUCAAAGUCACAAAAAUCUCUCCUUUCACCCCUUAUUCAUGGCAUGUAAAUCUUGCAUAAAUUUUCUCUCUACUCUUACAAGACCCACAGGAUGCCAUACUUGAAAGAUCCAAAAUUCUUUCCCUUCCACCUUCCCUCCCUUCAACACUCUCUUGGAAAAAUCAAGUCAAGACAACUUGCCAUUAUCAUUAUCAGGCCAAACUCCUCUUGAUCGAAGUUGGAAAGCUUAGCUCUUAUCGACAUCAAUGGCAGAGCAAAUCAAGAUAACCAAGCAAUCUCCCUCCAAGCUCUGCCUCUUUCCUUAUUGGAGAACAUCUGAACUAAAUUGAAGUGUCCCCCAAAAGUGCAUCACAAUCUCUUCUAAUGAUAUAUUAUACUAGGCAAAGAUGGAUGGCAUAAAAAAUUUGGCCUAAAAUAAUUUAAAUAGUGAUUACAGUACUCUCGGCAAACAAGGAUUGCAAGUUCAAAAAUCAUUAAAGUAUCCCCAUUGCAGUAUUCAUACCACAAUUUGCAUAGGUAGAAGUACUCCUGCUUCCGAGUAAACCAAACAAAAAUUCCAAAAUAACAAUUAUAGGUACCAGAAUGCAUCAUACAACAGAAAUUAUGAAAGUAGAUAAAAAAAACGCCGCCAAACAUAGAAAUAAAAGGAAUCAUACCCUGGGUCCAUGUUUAUAAUGUCACAUAGCUCAAUGUUUAGAGCCCAAUCUGGACCAAUCAACAUAUCAUUGGUUGCCCUCUCAGCACAUGCUGCCGCGGUAUGAGCCAUGUUAUCUGCCUCUCUUGUGAAGUAACAAAUCCCUGUUUAUUGUAUAAGCACAGCCUACAAAAAAGUCAAUCACAAAACCAUUUAAUAUCAUGAAUAUGAAAAUUAAAAUUACGAGUUUAACAACAUGAACAGCAGAUCAGACGCAUUUCUAGGUAAACGCUCACCAAAAUCAGCUCUAGACGAUGGUCAUCAAUAAACCCAAUUUUGCAAUUAAAAGAAACUAUAGCUAACUCUCUCUAAAGAAUAAUAACAGUCCGUAUAGAAAAAAAAUUUCUUAAAAGUAGAUAAAAAGGAUACCAAGAAUUGAAUCCCCAAAAUUAUCCAUAUAUCCUUAAAAGCCACAAAUCAUAGAAAAACCCAGGACAGUAAAUAAAAAAAAACCCAGAAAGGAAAUCAACAAAUUUGAUAGUAGUUGCAAUAAAAUAGUAAGCUUGAAUAACAUUAACUUACCCCAAGUGAUCAAACCAAUAAAACCCACUUCACCCCGAAAAAGAAUUAAAUAACAAAGAAAUCCUUGAAGGGUAUGGAUUGAGGUUUUUGCCUGACUAAACCGACCAAGAAGAAGAAGGGAGAGAGAGAGAGAGAGAGAAAUUGGGUUAAUAGGAAGCUUAAACUAGUCUGCGUUUUCCGUGGGACGUUGUUGAAGACCUUUCAGCUUUUGUUUUCGUGAGGCUUUUUUAUUUUGUUUUGAUAAUUUUUCUUUGCUUUUUUUUUUUUUUCUUUUUUCAAUUUUGGCUUUGCGUCAGGCAUUGGGUAGUCACUACAUGUUGGAAUCAAAUUGGACUUGUUCUUUUUUUAUUUACUUUAGGUUCUUUUUUUUUUUUUUAAUGUCAAUUUUGUGGAAAGAAGUAAAAAGAAAAGAAGAAGAAGAAGAAGAAGAAGAAGAAGAAGGAGAAGAAAGGGGUUAGGCUGAAUUUUCAAUGGUUUUUUUUAAGUUAAAACCUAAAAAGAAUUCCUUGUGACAGGCUGUGAUGAUGGUUUGGGUGACCAAACCAUUAAUAUUAAUCCAUCUCACGAGAAAAUUGGUUAAAUAAAACAUAUUCCAAGUUUUAUGAGAAUAAAAUAAUAUAUAAUAUUUUAUUUGAGUCAACAAUUAUGAAAAAUCAAUUAGUUUUAAUGCAAAUUAAGGGUUUAAACAAAUUAGAAUAAAUAAAUCUAAAAAAUUAAAGGUGGGUCGGUCACUGAAAACAAAUUAAGGGUUGUGAACCAUAUCUUAAUCUAAGCUUAAACAAUUUAUUUAUUUUACAGGAUUUCCUAUUUUGACUUUUAUCUUGGAAAUUUCUAGAUUCAAAGGCGUGUACAUGUUGGAGAAAUUAAUAACUCCUUUUUUAUAUAUCAAACUUAUUAUUUUGAUAUGAAUUAUGUGGAUAUUUAUUUUUAUUUACAUCCCAUUUUUUUAUUUGAUUUUAGUUUUUAUUAUAUAAAAAUAUAUUAUUUGAUUGGCCAUAAUUGGGGGCUGGGUGGCUAGAGAGAAGUCAAGCCAACCCAAAUUGUUAUAUUUGGUCCUACUUUCCCAUCUUCUUUUUCUUUUGGUCCUAUCUUAUUUGCAUUUUGCACCACAUUCUUUAUUUCCAUGUCAUCAUUAAGUUGUGUUUAGAAAAAAAAAAUUAAAUAAAAAAUGAAGUUCAUAUGAUUAUUUCUAAAUUUUCAUUAAAUAAAUGGAUAGAUUUAAAAUGUAUUUUAUUAUGCAAUUCGAAACUUCGUUGUUUGGAAUCCUAAGGUAUUCAAAGGCAAUUAAUUCUAAAUUCCCGGUUGACAUUUUGGGUUGAAAAAAGUAGUGGGAAACGUAGAGUGUUCAUACAAUAACCUUGUUUUGUUAUGAUCCAAUGACUUUUCUAUCUCUAUCCAAAGAUUAAAUGGACAUCAUGACCCCAAGCUACAAAAUCAGAAAUUAAAACUUAAUCAUUUUAUUAUGUUUCAUUUAAAUUAAAAUUUUAGGAGUAACAUCUAAUUCGAUAUUUGAGAAUGUUUAGAUAAAUUUAUUAAGAAUUAAUAUAUGAGUUUGACAAAAAAAUUUAAGCUCAUUUCAAAUAUAGGCUAGGCUUAGAGAUCUAACAUUCAAGGUAUAGGUUUAACUCGUUUUUAUAUUGUAACAUAUUAUUUUAAUUUAUGUAUUUUAUAUUAUAUAAAAAUUAAAUCCAUAAUAAGAUAUAAUACUACAAUGUAAAAAAUAAAACUUAUGUUUAUUAAUUAAUAAAAGAAAAAGAUAUAAAAUUAUUGAACAUUAAAUUAAAGAUAGCAUAACUUUUAUCAAAAUUAUAGGUGAGCCUAAAAUAAGAUUAAAUUAAUUCUACAAUAAACAAAUUUUGAGGUUAUAUUUUGGAAUUCGACCUAAGCAAAUAUAGAUUAUACGUAAUGAUCUAACCCAAAUCCAUUUCAACUUGACUCAUGAGCGCUCCUUCUUUCCAUGUAACAAAAUGCAUAGCUUCAUCAUGGGGAGCAUAGCAUGAAUCAUUCAUUCCUGCUCAACAUUGUGCUUGAAUCUAGUUUUCAAAAUAAUAUUUUGGUUACAAUUUGUUAUGAGCUAAGAGAGUUUAGAGAAAAAAAAAAGGUUUGGUGAUUUUGCAAAUAUAAAGUAGCAAAUUCAAGUUUGAAGUAUUUGAGUGAAAGGAAAGCUUACCAGGGGUAAGAAAUUAAAUUGUUAAUUUAGAUUAUAUAGAAAAUUCAAAAAGAUGUAUGGUUAGUAUAGUACGAUGUGACUUUAAGUGCACUGAAGCGCAUUUUAUUUUUUAAAGAUUAAGGAGGAAUUAUAAAUAAUUUUAGGCAUUAUAUCAAAAAAAAACAAAGAUUAAGAAUUGUGAUACUAUACUUACAUAAAAAGAAAUAAAUCAAAAAAUAAAAAAGAUGUGUUGAUGCAAAAUGUGGUAAAGAAGGCUACAAAUGGUUUACAAAAAGGAGUUGAAAAUUAUUAGGUGAAGUUACGAGGGAGAAUUUAGUGACAUAUAGGAAAAGUUUAGGUAGGGACUUUGUGGUAGAUUUUUUUAUACAGAUAUGUGUGGAACAAGAUUGUAAGUUUGUUUAAGUCGCAGAUUUGGCUUAAGGCUCUAAAAGAAGGAAAGAAAAACUUAGAAUUUGACACAACUUAAAACGCAAAUAAAUCCAAGUCAAAUCUACAAAUUAAAAAAAACAAUAAUUAAGAUGAAAAGAAACAAGAACAAUUAAAUAAAUUAAAUAUUUGAACAAUUAAACAAAAAUAAGAUAGAAUAAAGAAGAUAAAUGAAAAAGAUAGAAAGUGGCCCGUAGAAGUUCUAAAAAGCCUUGGAAACCUAAUAAAUUCAUAACCCUUUUCGAACAGCUUUAAUUUUCCUUUUAAGAAAUAAAAUUUGGUAAGAAAAAGCUUGAAAAUGAUUCCACAAUUUAAAAAGAUUGUUAAAAUUCUUAUAAAAGAAAACUCCAGAGAAAUUCUUUAAAAAAAAUUUAAAAAGAACUUUAUUAACUCAAAAUAAAUAAUAAAUGAAUAGACCUUUAUAUAGGCUAACUAAGUACAUCUAAAUAAAACUCCGAAGUUUAUUGAAAGUACUUAAUCUAAACAACAAGUAAUUUUAAACUAAACAUUUUUGUUGACAUAAAGCUCGUAGAUAACUUAAAAUACUAAAAAAAAUUAUCUAAAAUUCGGAAUAAAUAAAUAAUAAAAUAAUAAAACUCGAACCCAAUCUGAUUUAAACUCGAAUAAAAAGCCUGAAGCUCGUUCAAAAAUUAUGCUCACACAGUCUUUACUAAAACGGUCAUAACUUGAGUUCUUGAACUCGAAAUUGAGUGAUUUAAAGUACAUUAAAAAGCUAAUAGACAAAUCUUCAAUUGAUAAGUAGACAUAUUGACCCAAAAAUGCUUAGACCCCUUCCAAAAAUGGUAUAUGGUAUAUGAUAAGUACCAUAUUAGAGAAAAGUGUCAAAACAUGAUAUAUGGUAUAUUAAGUGGAAAAUCAUUCCAUACACAGCUUGUGGAGUUUUUUAGGUUCCACAACUGGGUUGAAGGUAUAACAAGUAUCUUAUGGAAUACAGUAAACAAUAAAAAAUUUUAAUUAUAUAAUUAGAUGGGACACUUGUCAUAUUUUCAACCAUGUUAGUGGAGUCUAAAAACUCCAUAAGUUAUGUAUCAAAUAAUUACCCACAUAUAUAAACUUAUAUACGUGGGUAAUUAUUUGAUACAAUGAUAGUCAAUUUAUUUUAAUUUCACAAGCAGAGUUGUUUUAUUUAUUUAGUUUUUAUUAUUUUAAAUAUCAAUUAAUAAAGCAUUAGUUGAGUGGUAAAUUAAAAGUUUUAAUAAUGCAAUUGAGGUGGGUUUAAAUCCUAUCAUUUUCAUAAUUUUAUUGGUUUUUAAAAAUAAAAAAACUAAAGUAUCCUUGAAUAAUAUAAUUUAUUUUUAUUAUAGAAUAGCAUUUCCGUAAUUUACUUUUAACCAGGCACCAAAUCAUUUAAGAGCUUAAAUAAUUGUAAGUAUAGAUAUACAAUUGAUGAAAAUAAUAAAAUGUAUAAUAAAAUUAAAAUUUACAAAAAUAUCAACUUGAAGCAUUGGCAGAAUGAUAAAAUAAAUGUUUUGCUAAUGUAAUUGAUUGAAUGUGGGUUUAAAUCUCACUAGUUUCAUAUUUUUAUUGAUUUUUUAAAAUAAAAGAAUUAAAAUACCCUCGAAUAAUAUAACUUAUCUUUUAUUACGAAUAGGUAUUUCUAUAUUUCUCAUAACUGAGUUGGUACUUGGUUAACUUAUGACACCAACUCAAUCAGGAGAUUAAAUAAUAGUAAGUAUAAAUAUACAAUUGACGGAGAUGAUAAAGUGUGUAAUAAAAUUAAAAUGUAUAAAAACGUCAAAUUAAUGCUUUAGUUGAGUGGUAAAUUAAAAUUUUUACUAAUAUAAUUUAUUGAUGUGGAUUCAAAUCUCACCAGUUUCAUUUUUUAUUGGUUUUUAAAAUAAAAAGACUAAAAUACUCUUGAAUAAUAUAACUUAUUUUAUUGUGAAAGGGCAUUUCUAUAAUUUCCAUAAUCAAGUUGGUGCUCAGUUAACUCAUGACACCAACUCAAUUAUAAGCUUAAAUAAUAGUAUAGAUAAAAUAAUUAUAAUAAUUCUAAUUAUUUUAUUAAUUAUGUUUUCAUUAUUAGGCCUUGUUUGAUUAACUACUGAAAAAAUUAAAUUCAUUGAAAAUUAAUUUUUUUCAAUGAUUUAAUUUUUCACUCGUGUUUGAUAAUCCAAAAUCAAAGCAAUCUGGUAGUGUUAGAAGCCCAAUUUAGCCCUACUAACCCACCAAAAUUAAACUAAUAACCCAAAUAACCCCAAAAAAAUUAAACUCAAACCCUUACAAACCAAAACCCCAACCCGUCAGCCCAAAUAUAUUAUAACUAAACCUAGCCCAACACCCAACUAAACCUAGACCUAGCCCAACAUCAGAAAAAACAAAACAAAAAAGAAAGAAACCCUAAUUUCCUAAGUCAAGCCGCCACCACCAACUCCUCUGAUGCCUCUGCCACCACCCACCGCCACCUGCUCUACCGGCCAUACCUUGCAAAGACAAAGCAAACAAGCAAGAGAGAAAGAAAAAAAACAGUUUGUAACUUGGCUUUAAAAAGCCAAAACCGAAACUAAAGAGGGGGGUUUUUCUUUUUUCUUUCUAUUGAAAUAAACCUAGACAUUGAAAACAAAAAGGCAGAGAUCUUCACAACAUCAAAAACAGAAGAACAAACCAAACUAAAAUAUCAAAAUACCGAAAAAAGUUAGAAACUCAAGGUGAUUUUUUUAGUUUUUCAACCGGAUUUAUUUUCUUUUUUUUUCCUCUUUUUGCUCUCUAGUUAUACAUAUAUACAUAUUUUUUUAAAAAAAAGAGAAAAAUUUUACCUUUCGCGGUGGCCGGCGACGGCGCCGGUGGUGGUGUGCGGUGGCCAUCCUGGCCGAGUUCUAGGUUUGCCCAGAGAGAAAAAUGAGCAUUCUCCUUUCUUUUCUUUUUUUUAAAACAGUGUAACUAAUGAAAGCAAAA